UUUUUUUUCUUGGAUAAGGUUCGCAGAUACAUGAGGUGAUUAUGGUGCCGUGGUGAUCACAUAGUUGGCUUGCUCGAGAUCAACAGCAGAAUUUCCAUUCUGUUGGUUUUAAAUGAAUACUUUGACAGCUACUGUUAUGGAGAUGGAUCAAACCACUUAAUUUUUGUAAGUACAAUGUAAUUACUUUUGGUUUUAAAUGAUCAAGGAGGUUUACUUUGGAUCCAGUCAACCUUUUGGUUUUUCUGUGUAAUUGCUUUAAAGGAUCUGAAGCAACUCAUAAAACUGAUUUGUUGUUUCGCUUUUCGAUUUUGAUGCGAAGAGCUGUAUUUGGUAGUUUAAGACAUGAUUGAAAUGCAUGUCAGGUCAGGUCGAUCUCCUAAAGCAACAAUCACCAGUCAAUUCAUGGCUAUCCAAAAUGCAAGGAAACUCGAGUUUUUUCAAGUUAUCUCCAUAUUUUUUAACAAAUUACAGUGACAGUUUCACUUUAAACCCUAAUCACAAUUGAAAUUGCCAAGUGAUGGAUCAGACAUAUUUUGUAUUUUCUUGAACGCUCGCGAUCACAGUGGCUAAGACAACAGAAAAACUCAGCAAGAAGUCAAGGCCUAUACAUAACAAUGAGAACAGAUAGAGAUUUGAAUAUUUAAAUAAAGUAAUAAAAAUGUAUCAGUGCCAACUAAUAGUAAAAACAUAGCAGGCAUCCUCACCAAAUUUCAAUUAUGCUCGACAGCUCUUAUAUGAGAAAGUAAACGUGAGGAAUCAAUAUGGAAUUCCUUGAGUUGCAUACCAAAAUUGAAAUCGUAAAAGAACAUUUUUCUGCAUUUUGAUUCUUCUUCUUUCAAAUAUUAUUUUUUUCUUCUAUAAUUUCCUAAUUUAGCUAUGUAAAGGUCUUGUUUUUACGAGGAAAAUGUGUACUGGCAGCCAAGCCUAGCUUAAUAUCGUUUCCGUUUUGUUUUGUUUUGCAAAGAAAAUAAAACACUCACUUAUGAAGGUUUCAACGAAUUGGUGGCCUUGUUUCAUCAUCUCAUCACAAAUCCUAUUUAGCAUGAAGCAUAAGAUAUUAUUGAAAUGUUUUGCUUUUAAAAUCUUUAAAAACACCUGUCCUUAAAAAGAAUCUCUCUCUCUCUCUCUCUCUCUGAUAAAAUCAAUUUAGAUGUCUAAUAUUUCAUAAAAAAAAACAUGUGAUCCAAGCAGUUUUUUAAUUGAAUAUUUUGGCUUAAAAUCUAAUUCUUUUUGUUUUUUAGUCAUUGGAUUUAAGAGAGGAUAGAGUUGUUGAAAAUCAAAUAGGAGAUAGAAAUUUACUAAUGAUAUUUUUUUUUAUAAUGAAACUAGUUAUUUUUUUAUUUUAAUAAGUUUUAUUUGAUGAUGAAAGUUUUUUUAAAAUAUUGUUUUUUUUAUUUUUUUGAAAAAAUAGAUUGUGCUUGAAUUUUUUUUUUCUUUUAUCUUACACUAUAACAUUUGAAGCUCUACAUCGUUCUCUUUCACGUGGGAUAACAUGUGUGGUACUGUUACAAUGAUAGUUUAUUGUCCGCCACUCGAUCCUUUUCCUUUUCUCUUCUCUCUCCCCUUCCCUGUUAAAUUUUGUGUUGGCCAUUAAAAAAAUAUAAACCAUAUCAUCUUAUUUUAUGACAUUUCAAAGAAAAUAAUAAUUAUUUAGAAGAGGCUAUGUAUAUUAUUAAUUAAAAAAAAUUAAUUAAUCCUAAGGGGUCGAUGAACCAAUCAGACUUUGGAUUUGCUCCCUAAUGAUCACGAGUUCGAGUUCUCUCUGGACCACUGUAAAUUUACAUGGUCGUUAACUUUAAGGCCGGUAGAAUUAGUUGAAAUGCUUAAAAGCUAACUUGGAUAUCAAUGUUAAUAAAAAAAAAUUAAUUAAAAAGGUGGUUUAAUUGAUUAAUUAAACGUUUUGAAAUCAGCAUUAAUUCUAUCUGCAGAUUAAUUGAUAAGGUGGAGUGGAUUAUAGGUUAUGCGAACCCAAAACUUAUGUCCUUUAGGUGUUUGAUCAAAGUCUAAUAGAGGCUGAGGAUAAUGCGCUGGGAUUCUAAUGCCUUCAAUGUGACAUUGUGAGAGUUCAGUGUAAUAACGGUGGACGGGGGAUUGCAAUUAUAUGGUGAUGCUUGUAAGCUUGCAAGUAUCUUCAACUCUCUCUCUAGAAAAGGAAAAAAAAAAAGAUUUGUGCUCAGAAUAAUCAAAGCGAUUCUUGAAAUAAAAAAUAUAUUCGAUACAUUUUUAAACUCUUAAACGAAAAGUAAAAGCAUUUGCAACAUAAUACUAAAAACAUGCGAAAACUCUUAUUUUCAUUCUCCAUUCUCUUUCGAUUUUAAAUAACCAAUAUUUAUUACUGGAGGAGAUUUUAUUCUCUAUUAACAUAUAUAAAUAUAUAUAUUUUUAGUAUUAAAUUUAUUAGAAAUUGAAUUUUAUAUUUAUUUUUUAUGAGAUUUUGUUAAUAAAAAAAUUAAUUAAAAAGUUGUCAGUGUUAGAAUUUGACCAUAAAAUUAAUUAAAAGAGAAAGGAAAUUUGGUCGAUGCCUAGUUUAAUUAAACCUUUUGAAAUCAACAUUAAUUCUAUCUACAUGAAUUAAGUAAACUGUAUUAUUCUUCUAAAAGAUGCAAUAAACAGUGAAAGGACGAAUCUGAUGGCUUGUCUUUGUAAAGUAACGACAGACCAAGCGUACGAGGUAGUACGGUAUCUGUAUCAAAUCCAGGUAUCUGGAUCUAACAUUUAUGCCUGUAAUAAAUGAUGCAUUUUCUGUCCUUGUCUAGAUUUUGUCUGUUAGAAGCUGACUCAAAAAUCUGUUUUACAAUUUAUUUUUAUUCAAAAUAUUUAUAAAAACAUUUAGAAAUUAUGACAAACUUAUUUAUUUAUGACUUUAAAAAAUAAAAAAAAAAUAUUCUAAAAAUCAAAUUCAACCUGAAACUAAAAAUCAACCUGAGUUCAAAUCUGUUUAUUAACAAAUAUUUAAGGUAUAAAAACACCUAAUAUGAACCCUUCUUGUUAAAUUAAAUAAUUUAACACAAAAAAUUUUAUUUUUGAUGGUUUAAAUCGGUGUCAAUAACAAGUUUUUUUUUUUUGUCAAAAUUCAGCGACCUCUCUCUCUCAAUCAAGAACACAAAAAUAAUAAAAAUGAAUCCAUGUACCAAAAUGGAGUUUUUUAAAAACUUACGAUACACCAUCUAUAUUUGUCGUAUUAUUCAUUUAGAUCCCUUCUCUUCUAAUCUUAUUUUUUUCAUAAAAAUUUAAAUUUAAUUGCUUUUUAAAUAGUACUCAUGUCCAUAAACAAAGUCUAAGAAUAAAAAAAAAAAACAUUUUUUUUGUAGAAUGAUUGGUGUACAGUGAGUUCCCCUAUUUGUUUUUACGUUUCAAAAGUGUUUUUAAAAAAAAUUAAUUUUUUUUUUAUUUUUAUCUUUACUUCAAAUUAAUAUUUUUUUGGUAUUUUUAGAUUUUUUUGAUGUGCUGAUAUCAAAAAUAAUUUUUAAAAAAUAAAUAAAAAUAUUAUUUUAAUAUAUUUUCAAGUAAAAAAUACUUUAAAAAACAAUCAGAGUCAUGUUCUCAAACACAGCAUAAUAAACCACCGCAUUACUAUUUGCUUAUUCAUUUUGACAGUGGCUUUGAAUUUUUGGCAAAUGAGACUUGUUUUUUUGGCUGCGGGAUCACGAUAUGUGUAGGAUUAGUUAUGAUCCAAGAUGGUCACACCAACCUUGGUCACAAUCAAGUAUCAAUUUUUUUUUUAAAAUGACACGAAAUAUAUAAUAUAAAUUCAAAUUGUAAAAUCAUAAAAUUACAAGUAAAAUAUUUUAAAUAAUUAUAUAUUAACAAUUUCAAUCAAAUAGUAAUUAAUAAUAUAACAUAAUUAAAAUUAAAAUAAAAUAAACAAUAGAAAAAUUCCAACACCUUUAUUUUAUUCACAUUGAUUCCUUUACUUCUUGGAUAAAUCGAUUCAUUUAUUUUUUUAUUUACAAGAAACGAGUCUUUAAAUUUUGAUAGACCAUUUAAUAUUAAUUACUCCAAGGAUCAAUCAUGUUAAUUUACAACUUUUAUGAUAUAUAUUUGGUAGCUAAAACAGAGUAAUAUAUCAAUUGAUAUGUUAAUAGUUUAUACAAGAAAUUAUGAAGAAUGAAUAUGUAUUUUAAUUUUACGGAAAUAAAAUCCACAAAUAACUUGAAUCGUUAAAAAAAAGUUAUAAUAAUUAUAGUCAAAAUCAAGCAUUUGAUUAUGAAAUUGCACAAGUUUUACAAGAUAUAAAUUUAAAACAAUGAAAAUGUUAAGGUACAGAUUACUAUAAUAUAUAAUUUUAUAUUUUUUUCAAACUCGUAAAAUUGAUUUGAUUUUACCAAGUUUGAACGAGUUUAGCCAAUUUUACUAAUUUUUAAAUUUUAAUUUAAUUUGACAUAUUAGAUAUAUAUCACACAUAAAAUCAUAACAUUUUAAGAACAAUAUAUUUUUUUUAACAACAUUGUUCACAGCCCCGUUCAUGGUCAAUGAAAGAAUAAAUAAAAAAAGCAUUUUGAUUUUUUAGCGUUCCGACAAAAAAUCUAGCUGGGCACAACGUCCUUGACCAACGCGGGGGACAUGCCUUUGGCUGCAUCUGUUAUUUGGGUGUGGUUUCCUUUCAAGAGAGGAUGCAAAGAGUUAUGUUUGGGUGUGAUUUUUUUAUAUGCAACUCAACGAAAAAAAGCCAUUUUAAGAAAUAAACAAAAUUCUCGAAAGAAGCAGUGACGAAAGAAAGAAAAUGGUAACCAAGUGCAUCCUUGUAAGGGGGUUGGCGCAGCAGUAACAGGUUCUCUUUUUGAAGAAAAUUACUGCUGUGAGACUAUUGUUAAUUUUCCAUCUCAAGAAAUUAAGAAAUAUUAAUGUCCAAUUAUAAUGCAAGAAAACUUGUAUUCCUUCAAGACUAAUAAAAAGACAAUAAAAAUCCCAGUAUUAUUUUCGAAAAGAAGAAACAAAAUUGAAAUACUGAGACAUAUAAGAGAGUUUAAUUUAUGUUAGGUAACGUUUAAUUUCUCAAAAGCCAAAGCAAUUUCAUCGAGAAUAUUAUCUCACGAUCUGGAAAAAUAAAUAAGAAAAAAAAUAUCAUCUAAAAAUGCUUCAUGAGGGUCACAAUGUUUCAUUUUUUAUAAAAAGAAUAGAGAUAGAAGAUCAAAUAUAUAUAUAUUUUUUAUUUUUAUAUGUUUUUUGAAAUUAUUUUUAGUUCAAUACCUCUUUUUUUUUAUUUAUAAUUUUUUUAAAAUGAUAAUUAUCUUUAUAUAAAUAUAUAUUCUGAAAUCAAUUAUUUUUUAAGUGUUUUUUUUUAAUAUGAAUAUCUAAAUCAAUUUAUCUACUAAUUUUAUAAAUUAUAAAAUUAAUAAUUAUAUAAAUUUUUAAUAGUAUCGAGAAGACUUAAACUUAUAUCUAUAAAAAAACAAAUCUAGAAUCUUACUAUUUAGAUUUUAAGAUUUGUCUUUUUCAUCGUGUAGUAACCCCCGGUCCCUGUUAGCAGACUCCGAGACCGCGCUCGCAUAUUUUCUCCAAUGUGAUUCUACCUCUUUUACUAAAAAUAUGUCCACAAAAAAAGUGAACCAUCACCGAGGCAUCACCAACAAAAACACGCGCACAAAAACACCAAGACAUGCCGAGACAUGGCACAAAAGCACCAAGACAUGAUCAGUUCUAAUUAAGACAUGGCACAAAAACACAAGACAUGAGCAGUUCUAAUUAAGAAAUGCCACAAAAACACCAAGACAUCACCAGUUCUAAUUAAGAGCACACGAAAACACCAAGAUGACCAGUUAGUUCUAUUUAAGGGCACCGCACCCAAACCUUGUUAUACAUACUUACAUCUCCUUAUUCACAAAAUUAAGCAUCCUCUCUUGCUCUGCUAACUUGUCUCCACCUGCGUUUCCUCCUCAAAUUUGGUAAUAGAAUCAAUGCGCUCUCUUUCUAAUACUUGAGACAUUACUGCUUUUAUUUUCUUCUAACUAAUCAUUCCUUUUUGUAGUUAAUUUUAAGCCAUGAAUGGUUACAUCCUACACCCCCCUGCACAAGACUUGGCCACAGCAGGCUACUCCUCAGCUGCUAAAGGAGGGCUUGCUGGUGUCCUCGUCAUGCUCCUUCUUGCUAUCGUAUUUUAUGUAUUCUUCAAGUUCCGAAACUGCUCCAUGAAAUUUGAGAUGGAUGUUGAAAUGCCAUAAAGGAGCGGCCAUGCUGCUGCUGGGACAUAAGACAAUGAGAUUCUUCUAAUUUUCCAAUAUUAAUGUUUUCGUAUUAAAUACUCGGGCGUCUCAACCCUUUGUUUUUGGUUUCAUCAUCUGUAUUGCCGCAGAUAAAUAUUUGGUCUCUUUUCUCAUAACAAAACAAUUCCAGAUAAUUUGUACCUUUUAUGGUGUGAAUUUUGUGCUGGAGUUGGACUGAUAUCUUCCAUUAAAAUCGUCAAAGCAGAUAAGGAAUUGUGGGCUUUUUCUUUAAUUUUUUUUUUGUGGGUUUUAACCACGUCUAAGUUUCUUAUUUGCUGGGGCUUAACUUUAGGAACUUUCUUUUUAUAGUCUCUUUUUAACAAAAAGAAGGUCGUCCUUCGACUGCAUUCGCUUCUUCUUCUUUUUUUCGCUCAACUUCCGCCGCUGGUGGGGUUACUAGCGGCGUGGUCCUGGACGGUUGCGUUGGCUGUCGUGAUAGCUUGAGUCUGUCGGAGUUCUCGCUUUUCGUGUUCUUCUUUUUUUUUUUUUUUGGCUCCAGGCAGCUGGAUCCUUUCGUUGUUGACGGCUAUGCCGUGGUUUGGUGGUUAUGUUGGUAACUGGUUCAAUGGCUAUGUUGGUAUUGGGCUUGCCAUGGCGGAAUAGCGCUGGGCAGUUGGGUGUUUUUUUUAGAAGUAGAUGAGAAUUGCCAGGGGAGAUGGGUUGCGGUGGCGGUCCGUGGGUUUUGGCUUUGUGGAGUACAGAGGCAUUAAUCUUCUACUACAAAGAAAAGAAAUAGCAACCGCGACCUGGAGGAAGGGAGAGACAGAAGGAGAUUAAAAUUAUCGACCUUGACUGGUAAUUUUCUUUGAUUUUCUUAAAUGGAUCUUUGAAUUAAUUGUUUAUUAUUACCUAUAUUGGUUGGUUGAUAGUUCCUCCCCGGUGGAGGAGUGUUGCAGUGAUGGGCAUGCUAAUAUUAUGUUUUAUCAACCGAUUGGUUGAAUGAAAUGAAUUGGCACUCUAUGGAAAGGAGCAGGACAUGGGAAUCGAAGCAUUGGAAGCCAUGCUUAUGGAUAUGAUGGUUUUAGAGGUGCUCCUUCCCUUCUUUCUUUUUUAUUUUUUCAAAGUAAACAAACCAAUGAUAUGCAAUUGCAGAAAUUCAUUCUAGCGAGAGUGGCCUUCAUACUUCUAACCAUCGCUUCAAGAUACUGCUGUGUUUUUUCUCUUCCCCGGAGUUUGGUCACGCUCUUAUGCUAUGCUCCUUUAGUCAUGCUGUUUUGGAUUCUUAGCUCGAUCAGUUUUUUAUGACCAUGAAUAACAUUACCUAUCUUUUGCAGGGAAACAGAAGCUGCUGGAGGACUGCACUGCCACCCCAAAUCCAAAUUGUGGAUGCAGCCACUGUUAUGGAAAUGGAUCAAGGAGGUUUACUUUUGGAUCCAGGCAACCUUUUAGUUUUUCUGUGUAUAAGACAUGUAAUGCUUUAAAGGAUUUGAAGCAACUCAUAAAACUGAUUUGUUGUUUCGCUUUUUGAUUUUGAUGCGAGGAGCUGUAUUUGGUAGUUUAAGACAUGAUUAAAAAUAUAGUUUUUUGAAUAAAAUUACUGAAGAUAGACUGUUGUCAAUUUUCCAUCUCAAGAAAUUAAGAAAUAUUAUUGUCCAAGUAAAAUGCAAGAAAACUCGAGUUCCUUCAAGUCAUCUCUAUGUUCUUUAACAAAUUAUGGUGACAGUUUCACUUCAAACCCUAAUUGCAAUUGAAUCGCCAAAUGAUGGAUCAGAAAUACUUUGUUCUAAAAAUGUUUCCUCCUCUCGAAGGCCCACAAUCGCAAGGGCUAAGAUAACAAAGAAACUUAGCGAGAAGUCAAGGCCCAAAACAAUGAGACCAGAUAGAGAUUUCAGACGAAGCAUGCAAAACAUAGUGUAUUAUACAGUUUAUACCUGACCUAACUCUUUUGAGUUUGAUUACGCGUCAAGCUCAAGUAAUUAUAAGCAAAUGAGAUCUAAAAAUAAUAAAAAAAUGGUAUAAGUUAUAAUUCUUAAAACAAUCUAAUAAUUAAAAAUAAAAUUAAAAAAGAAACUAAAUAAAAAAGGAUUGGGUUGUCAAAAGGUGAAUUAAAAAGAAAAAAUAAAUAAACAAAUGAAAGAAAGAAAACACAAGACACUAUUUCAACAAAUAAUUUUUUAUGAAUGUAACUGCAGCUGUGGUUCUUUCAAAAAUCCAAACUUUCCAAAUGAUUCGGCGCCAUGACAAAUGCAAUUCUUGAGAUCUUGUGCCAUCUUUCCAGCAUCUUUGGUGAAGAAAUUUACUAAUUAAUGCACAUAAAAUGACAAUAAAAACUCCAAUAUUAUUUUCAAAGCUCUUAAAAGAAAAGCAAAAUUGAAAUACUAGGGCAUAUAAGAGAGUUUUAUGUUAAGUCUGGUUUAAUUUCUCAAAGGUCAAAGGAAGCCUUACUGGGAUGAGGGAUGAGGGAUGAGGGAGGAAAAAAAGAGAGAGAAGGGAAGAGAGAGAGAGAGAGAGAGACAACCAAUUCAAACCGAUAAUCCCAUUGAUUCAUUUUGUGUGAGCAACACUAAGUUCUUAUCAAACGUGGCGUUGUCAAACGAGAUUGAAGGCACGUUUAGAACAACUGCAAGUUAUCUAAAUAAAAAAGUGUUUGAAAUGUAAUGCAAACUAUAUUUUUAAAAAUUUUAAUUUUUUUAUUUAAAAUAUUUUAUAUAUAUUUUUAGAUAUUUUAAUAUAUUAAUAUUAAAAAUAUUUUUUUUUUUAAUACAUUUUUAAAUAAAAAAAUAUUUUAAACCACCAUUAAUACUAUAAUUUCAAAUAAAUUGAAAUGCUUUGUUAAUUCUACGAGUAGGAUGCACAUUGUAUCCGUAACUCCAUAAUGCAAUUUGAUGUGAUUUCGUGGUAUAUAAAUAUUCAAGGAUGUAUAAGAAAAUUGAAUAAUCUAUUUACACUCAGAAUCAUUUAAAAUAAAACUCUCCUGUAUUUUGAUUCUUCUUCUUUUAUAUAUUAUUUUUCUGAAAUACUUUGUUAAUUUAGAUAUCAAAGAAUUACCUAUCCUGUAUAGUUUUUAAGGAACAAGAACUUAUAACAUGAUUUUUCUAGUGGACUAGGCCAGCGUGCCUCCUCUCAAUCAUGGAAUUGUUUAGUUUAAUAGAGUUUUUAAUAGUAUUAAUUUGUUUUUUUAAUAAUAUUUAUCAGAUAACUCUAAAUCAAUUACAGAAAAUAGACCAUAUUUAUAUAAUUUAAUAAUGUAUAUUAAUUUUCUUAGGCGAUCUGUGUUGCAUAAGAAGUUUAUAUUAAGCUAAGAAGCUUGUUUUAAUUUUUAAUUUUAAUUUUAAGAUUGCCUGAAGGGGGAAUCUGUGCGGGUGGGUCCAAACCCGACAGUGGAUGGAUACCAAUUGGAUGUGUCGUAGAUGUAGCUAUUUUUUUGCCCGGAGCGCUGCAGCGCGGCCAUAAUUUAGUUAAACGAUAAUUUAGAAAUUAACCAAAGAGGAAAAUAAAUAUAGGGGGAAAAUAAAAUUAUGCUUUAAGAUGUGGAUUUAUUUUAUUUUAUUUUGGGAUGAUCAGGUGGAAGAUUAUUUAGGAGAGGGAGGAAAUUAUGUUUUAAGAUUAAUAUUAGUGAAAAGAAAUCUUGGAUUAAUUUUUAAAUAAAAUUACUGCUGUUAAACUAUAUUCAAUUUUUCAUCUCGGUAAAUUAAGAAAUAUUAUUGUCCAAGUAGAAUGCAAGUAGUUAUAUAUAUAUAUAUUAAAUUAUUAUAUUAAUCUCAAAAUGUAUCUAUGUUUUCUUGGGGCAUUUUCAUAUUUUCCUUUGGGUUUUUUUGCUGCUUAUUUUAUUUAAUACCCACUAAAAAAAUGCUUGGUCAUUCAUUCUAGUCCCUUCGAAAGUUAUUUGGACCUUUAUAUUUACUUGAUAUUUUUUAUAAAAAUAAGUUCUUAAUUAAAGAAAAUUUAUCCUCAUAUUUUUUCAUAACAACACUUUAAUCCCUAUAUUAAUUUUAUUUUAAUUGAGUCUAGGUGCCCACAUCAAAUGCUCCGUUCAUUAACAUUCUAGUAAUGGAUCAUAGGUUGAAAUAAAUCCAUGUGAGCGUAUGCAUCAAUUCUUAGUGCCUGUUUGGCAUUGCGGUCAAACCGGUUUUUUGAAAAAAUUCAAAUUUUUUUUUUUUUACUAAAAUUGAGUGCGGUUUGUACUUUUUGGAUCGUUUUGAUGUGCUGAUGUCAAAAAUGAUUUUUAAAAAAUGAAAAAACAUUAUUGACAUGCUUUUCGACACGAAAAGCUAUUUGAAAAGCAACCGCUACCACACUCCCAAACACCCUCUUAAUCCUAAGCCUCCGUGGACUAAAAUUAGUAGACAUGCACAUACUGCUCUUUGAAUAAAGAGCAAACCUCAAAAAUACUAAAUUAUUUAUAUUAAUUUUACCCUCAUGAUCUUAAGAAAAAUUAAUCAAAUACUUCUAUAUAUUUUAAAGCUUUCUGACGAUGUUUUUAUUUAAAUUAUACUGUUUUUAAAAUGGUUUUUUUUUUUGUAGAGGAAUUAGUGUUUUAUAUUAAAUAUCUCAAUAUAAAAUCUUAAUUGAGAAGUCAAUAUAAUGUAAUGGUAAGAUUGAUUAAGAAAAUAGUUUGGAUAUAAAAUUGAUAAUAAUUCAAUAAUUUGAUGAGAUAUUUGAUAUUUAGCUUCGAAUAAAUCUGUCUUUUUGUGUACUGUGUUUACAGGGAUCGGGAAGAAUAAGGAAGCAGGUUGGAAAUUUACAAUCGAUGCAACAGUAUACUUCAGUUGACUGGAUGUACAGGCUUGCAAAAGUCAAUAGUCUAAUCAAUUGAUUUAAACCUAUAGCCAUAUCUGACGCCAUAUUUCUUUUAAAAAAUAAUCACUUUUCUCUCUCUGAGCCCCAAGUUCUGGUUUUUCUUGUGUCUUAAUCAUUAUUUUUCUCUAAUUUAUAAGAUAAUUUUAGAUUCAAAGAAUAUGGAUAAAAAAAUAAUAAAUAUUUAGAUGUUGUUUAUUUUUUUAUUUUAAAAGUAUUUUUAAAAAAAUUAUUUAUUUAUUUAUUUUAAAAUAUUUUUAUAUAUUUUAAAAUUAUUUUAAUAUCUAACAUUAAAAAUAAUUUUUUAAAAUAAAAAAAUAUUUAAAAAAAACAAUUAUUACUAUAUUCACGCACCUCUGAAACCACUUACUAAUGUGUUUUGAACUUUUCCACCACCUAGAGGCUGCCUUUGCCAUCAUCUGCCUGCAUUUUACAAUUUACAUCCCAUUGAUAUUUAUCUUAUUGAUGAAAUACGGAGUUUCAUCAAGCAUUCGAAAUGGAAAUUUUAGUUUUUCUUAGUUUUUUUUAAAAAACAAUUUCUGACGGUGCAUUUUAUAUAUAUUUUUUAAAUUAUUUUUUAUUUAAAAAAAUGACACUGAAAUUUUUAAUAAUCUUAAUGUAUUGAUGAUAAAAAUAAAAAAUGUAUGAAAAUCAUCAUUUUAAUUAAAAAAUAUUUUAUAAAAACACAUUGCAUAAUUACCAAAAACAAAGCAUUUUGAACAAUGCGAAGGACAUGCGUUUUUGCUCCCGUGUGAUUUACUUUCAAAAGAGGAUGCAAAGAGCUAUUUUUAUAAAAAAAUAAAUAAAGUAAAGAAUUAAUUAAUUAAUUAAUAAAAAAAAUCUAAUAAAUAUCGCACUCAACAUCGCGAUGAAUUUAAAAAAUAUAAGUAAAUUUUUUUUUUAUAUGUGAAAUGACCUCCUUGGCUUAAAUAUCAAAAUAAAAAAGGAUAAAAAAUACAGGGUAAUCCUAUAAAAAAAAUCUUAGCUUAGCUUCAUACAAAUUGUUGGCCAGUGAAUCUUAACUUAGCUUCAUAUGAUGAGUUAAGUUUUUAAAAAAUUUAACAUUUCAAUAAAAAAAUUAUUCCUUUUUUUUAAUUUUAGUUUUAUCAUUGACUCUUUUAUAAAAAAUUUAUUUUUUUAAAUUUAGUCCUUCAAUUAAUUACAAUUUGAUUUUUAUUUUUUUUAUUUUUUAAUUUGUUUUUUUAAAUUUUUUAUAAAAAUUCUAUUAAUUUUUAAUUUUAUCACUCAAUUCAAGUUUAUCGUAUAUUAAAAAAAUAAUUUUACCAGUAAAUAACUAGUAGCAUUAAUAAUAAUAAUAAAAAAACCGUUUGAGCAUUCAAGCUCGCCUAAGAUUCAGUCCAGGUUUCCCAAUAAGAUUAUUUAUAAUACGGCCCGUGAGAUAGUUGUUCUGUAAAUACCUGAAAAAUAAAGGACUGUAAACCAGAUAGAGAUUAGGCCAAGAAAGCCCCAGGGGAGAUGGAAAGCAAGGGAGAUCACCAAAACCAAAAGUAGCACAAGCCCGACCCGACAGAACUGGGAGAGCAGACGUGGCAAAAGUAGGGAGAGCAGAACUGGAAGAGUCUUUUAGACACCGUUUGACAUUGCGUUUCAAAUAAUAUUUUAUUAAAUUUUAAUUUUUUUUUAUUUAAAAUUAAGUAUGGUUUGUAUUUUUUAGAUCGUUUUAAUUUGCUAAUGUCAAAAAUAAUUUUUAAAAAAUGAAAAAAAAUUAUUGACAUGUAUUUCGGUACAAAAAGCUAUUUGAAAAGCAACCGCUACCACACUGCCAAACACACUUUUAAACGUAGCAAAAGGCAUUCUCCAUUUAUACAUACUUACAUCAUUAAGCAUCCAUUCUUGCUCAUCUAACUCGUCUCCUCAAAUUUGGUAAUAUUAUCAAUGCGAUCUCUUUCCAAUCUCACUUGAGAAAUUACUGCUUUUAUUUUCUUCUAAUUAACCAUUCCUUUUUGUAGUUAAUUUUAAGCCAUGGAUGGUUACAUCCCACACCCCCCUGCACAAGACUUGAGUGAGGAGAGGCAUAAUCCAUAUAAAAUAAAAUAUUCAAUGAAAGGGACAAAACGGUGUGAAUUGUUAUUUAUCUUAUUGAUGAAAUACGGAGUUUCAUCAAACAUUCGAAAUGGAAAUUUUAGUUUUUCUUAGUUUUUUUUAAAAAACAUUUUUUUCGGUGCAUUUUAUAUAUAUAUAUAUAUAAUUUAAAUUAUUUUUUAUUUAAAAAAAUGACACUGAAAUUUUUAAUAAUCUUAAUGUAUUGAUGAUAAAAAUAAAAUAUAUAUAAAAAUCUUCAUUUUAAUUAAAAAAAUAUUUUAGAAAAACACAUUGCAUAAUUACCAAAUACAAAGCAUUUUGAACAAUGCGAAGGACAUGCGUUUUUGCUCCCAUUGUUAUUUGGGUGUGAUUUACUUUCAAAAGAGGAUGCAAAGAGCUAUUUUUAUAAAAAAUUAAAUAAAGUAAAGAAUUAAUUAAUUAAUUAAUAAAAAAAAAUCCAAUAAAUAUCGCACUCGACUUCGCGAUGAAUUUAAAAAAUAUAAGUAAAUUUUUUUUUAUAUGUGAAAAGACCUCUUUGGCUUAAAUAUAAAAAUAAAAAAGGAUAAAAAAUACAGGGUAAUCCUAUAAAAAAAAUCUUAGCUUAGCUUCAUACAAAUUGUUGGCCAGUGAAUCUUAACUUAGCUUCAUAUGAUGAGUUAAGUUUUUAAAAAAUUUAACAUUUCAAUAAAAAAAUUAUUCCUUUUUUUUUAAAAAUUUUAGUUUUGUCAUUGACUCUUUUAUAAAAAAAAUCAUUUUUUUAUUUAGUCCUUUAAUUAAUUACAAUUUGAUUUUUAUUUUUUUUAAUUUUUAAUUUGUUUUUUUGGAUCUUUUAUAAAAGUUCUAUUAAUUUUUAAUUUUAUCACUCAAUUCAAGUUUAUUAUAUAUUAAAAAAAUAAUUUUACCAGUAAAUAACUAGUAGCAUUAAUAAUAAUAAUAAUAAAAAAACCGUUUGAGCAUUCAAGCUCGCCUAAGAUUCAGUCCAGGUUUCCCAAUAAGAUUAUUUAUAAUACGGCCGGUGAGAUAAUUGUUCUGUAAAAACCUGAAAAAUAAAGGACUGUAAAGCAAAUAGAUGGUGGGGCAGGGGUUCAAAAGCCCUAGGGCAGAUGGGAGAAAAGGGCGAAAAGGGGAGGGCGAAAUCGACGAAAAGGGGGAGGGGCGAAAUCGACCAAAAGGGACACAAAGACAAUAAGGGGCAAACAGUGACAAAACCGUAUCUCCUCUAUUUAAGAGCUCAAAUUCCAUUUUAUACAUACUUACAUCUCCUUGUUACUCACAACAUUAAGCAUCCAUUCUUGCUCUGCUAACUCGUCUCCUCAAAUUUGGUAAUAUUAUCAAUGCGAUCUCUUUCUAAUCUCACUUGAGAAAUUACUGCUUUUAUUUUCUUCUAAUUAACCAUUCCUUUUUGUAGUUAAUUUUAAGCCAUGGAUGGUUACCCCCCUGCACAAGACUCGGCCACAUCAGGCUACUCCUCAGCUGCUAAGGGAGGGCUUGCUGGUGUCCUCGUCAUGCUCCUUGCUAUCGUAGUUUAUGUAUUCUUCAAGCGCCAAAACUGCCUCGAGGAGGGCGACCCCGUGAAGGUUCAGGUGAUCAAUAUUGUUGAAAUGGGAGAGAAGCGUGGGAAAUAAGGAGGUACCAUACCAUGUAAUAAGAAGUUGAAGCUAAUUAAGAUUCAUACAAAUGAGAUUUUCCUAAUCUUCCCAUAUUGUUUUUGUAUUAAUUGCAGGAAUCCAUGAAGCACACGGAUGCCUCGACUGCUCCUUAUUAGUUAUAUCUAUUGUAUUGUUGCAGAAUCGAACCGUUUUAAUUUGUACUUUAUAUUUAAAUAAAUGAUUGUGUGAAUUUCGUGUUGGACUUAAACUUAAUAUUGAAUUGUGUUGCUGCCACUUUAUUUUAAAAUCGUCAUAGCAGAUAAUGAAUUGUGGGCUUUUUCUUUAUUUUUUAUAUUAUUAUUUUUUUGAUUAACGUUGGUGUCCGGGCCAGCUUGCGCGUACCACGAUUAAUCUCACGGUUCACUGAACAUCCUGCAAGCCCAGUGAACAGGUAAGACACCGCGGAGGUGACAGGGCAUACCGCACAGGGAGAACCCAAUAAAAAUAAGAGGAGAAUAAACUCUCCAACCCCACCCCUACUGGAACUCGAACCGGAAUUUGAAGAAAGGAAAGCUGCCUCAUGUAACCACUGAGCCACACACCUGUUGUUAUUUUUUUAAUAUUACUUGGAGUGGGGUUUUACUAUUACCAAUUUACUGUGUUGCUGCGACUCUUUUUUUUUUUGACCACGUGUAAUUUCUUAUUUGCUGGGGCUUGCUUUAGGAGCUUACUUUUUAUAGUCUCUUGGUCGUCCAUAAAACAAACACUCACCGCAACAGUCACAGGCCAAACUCUUUGUUAAAUUGAUCGCAGAUCACACUCCAUGUCAAACCGAUGGUGUUUAGGUGCGUUGAGCGCCGGAUCGGUGCCAACUCCAUCUCCUCUUGAUGAGGGCGGUUUUUCUCGUCGCCAUCCAACGAGGGAUGUCCAGUCUUUUUGCCUUCCGUUGCUUUCCCUUUUGUCUUUGCGCGACUUUCGCCGUUGGUGGAGUUACUAGUGGCGUGGACCUGGACGGUUGCGUUGGCUUCUGUGAUCGCUUGAGUCUGUCGGAGUUGUCGCUUUUCGUGUUCUUUUAUUUUUUCCCGAUCCUGGCAGCUGGAUCGUUUCAUUGUUAACGGCUAUGCCGUGGUUUGGUGGUUAUGUUGGUAACUGGUUCAAUGGCUAUGUUGGUGUUGGGCGUGCCAUGGCAGAAUUGCGCUGGGCAGUUGGGUUUUUUUUUUUAGAGGGAGAUGAGAAUUGCCAGGGGAGAUGGGUUGCGGUGGUGGUCCGUGGGUUUUGGCUUUGUUGAGUACAGACUACAGAGGCAUUAUUCUUCUAUUACAAAGAAAAAAUAGCAACCUCGACCUGGAGGAAGGGAGAGACAGAAGGAGAUUAAAAUUAUCGACCUUGACUGGUAAUUUUCUUUGAUUUUCUUGAAUGGAUCUUUAAAUUAAUUGUUUAUUAUUACCUAUAUUGGUUGGUUGGGAGCUCCUCCCCAGUGGAGGAGUGUUGCAGUGACGGGGCAUGCUAAUAUCUAUAUUUUAAUAACUGAUUGGUUGAAUGAAAUGAAUUGGCAGGCUAUGGAAGCAUUGGAAGCCAUGCUUAUGGAUGAUGGUUUUAGAGGUGCUCCUCCCCUUCUUUCUUUUUGAUUUUUUCAAAGUAAACAAACCAAUGACAUGCAAUGGCAGAAAUUCAUUCUAGCGAGAAUGGCCUUGAUACUUCUUUCAAGAUAUCAAUAUCUCCACAGGUUAGGCUGUUCAUCAUGGUGUCGUGUUUUUUUCUCUUCCCCGGGGUUUGGUAAUGCUUUUAUGCCAUGCUGUGCUGUUUUGGAUUCUUAGCUCGAUCAGUUUUAUUUCCAGUGGGAAAAGGAGGUGAACAUGGAGCUGUGAGUUCUAUGUUAUAAAAAAAUAAUUUAAUUAAAAAUACUUAGUAUGAAUCCUUCUUAUCAAAUUUAAUAAUAUAACACAAUUUUUUUUUAUUUUGAUGGUUUAAAUUAAUAUCAAUAACAAGUUUAUUUUUACUGUCGAAAUCCAACGAUUUUUUUCUCUUAAUCAGGAAUAAAAAAAUAAUAAAAAUGAACACCUAUAUCAAAAUAAAAUUUCUCAAAACUUAUGAUAUGCUAUUAUAUAUCCUUGUUUUUCAUUUUGAUCUCUUUUUUAAUCCUAAUUUUUCCAUAAAAGGUUAAAAUUAAUUGCUUCUUAAAUAGUAAGAGAAUAAUAAAUAAAUAAAUAAAUGAAUAACAGUAGUAAAUGUACAGUGAAGUAUUUUUUUUUUUGGAUACUCCGGAUUAUCAAAAAAAAAAAAAACCCGUAUCUUUUACUAUAUGUCUUUUUGGCUACGGGAUCACGACGUCUGUGGUACCAGUUGUGAUCCGAGAUGGCCACACCAAACUUGGUCACAACCCCGCUCAUGUCCUAUGAAAGAAUAAAAAAAAAAGCAUAUAAGAGAGUUUUAUGUUAGCUACAGUUUAAUUUCUCAAAAGCCAAAACAAUUUCAUCGAGGAUAUCAUCUCACGGUCUGGAGAAAUAAAUAACAGAAAAAUAUCAUCUAAAAAUGUUUCCAUGAGAGCCAAAAUAUCUCAUUUUUUAUAAAAAGAAUAGAGAUAGAAGAUCAAAUAUUUUUUUUUUAUUUUUAUAUGUUUUUUGAAAUUAUUUUUAGAUUAAUACCCCUUAUCUUUUUUAUUUUAUUUAAAAUCUUAUUUAAAUGAUAAUUAUUUUUAUAUAAAUUUAUUUUUUAAAAUCAAUUAUUUUUAAAUUUUUUUCUUUUAUUAAUGUGAAUAUUCAGAGUGAGGCAUAUUUUCUCCAAUGUGAUUUCUAUUUCUACCUCUUUUACUAAUAUGUCCAUAAAAAAGUGCACCAACAUUGAGGCAUCACCAGUUCAAUCACAAAAACACCAAGGAAUCAAACGCGCACUAAAACACCAAGACAUGCCGAGACAUGCCACAAAAACACCAAGGUGACCAGUUAGUUCUAUUUAAGAGCACGCAAACUUUCCCCAAAAGAGGCCUUGCUUAAGGAGUUCAUUUUUCCAUUUUCCAUUUUCCAUUUUCCUUUAAAACCCUCCUAUUUGUUUCCUUAUAUUUAAGGACACCGCACCCAAACCUUGUUAUACAUUCUUACAUCUCCUUAUUUAAGCAUCCACUCUUGCUCUGCUAACUUGUCUCCUCCUGUGUUUCCUCCUCAAAUUUAGUAAUAUUAUCAAUGCAUGCGAUAUCUUUCUAAUCUCACUUGAGACAUUACUGUUUUUAUUUUCUUCUAAUUAAUCAUUUCUUUUUGAUGUAAGCCAUUGAUGAUAUCUAAUUUGUACCUUUUAUGGUGUGACUUUUGUGCUGGAGUUGGACUGAUAUCUUCAAUUAAAAUCGUCAAAGCAGAUAAGGAAUUGUGGGCUUUUUCUUUAAUUUUUUUUUUUUUUUUUGUAAUUUUCUUAUUUGCUGGGGCUUGCUUUGGGAGCUUUAUUUUUAUAGUCACUUUUUAACGAAAAGAAGGUCGUCCAUAAAACAAACACUCACCACAGCAGUCCCAGCCGAAGUCUUUGUUAAAUCGAUCGCAGAUCCCACUCCAUGUCAAACCGAUGGUGUUUCGGUGCGUUGAGUGUCUGAUCGGUGCCAACUCCAUCUCCUCUGCACGUUGACGAGGGCGGUUUUUCUCGCCGCCAUCCAACGAGGGAGCCUUCGGUUGCUUUCGCUUCUUCUUCUUUUUUUAGCUCAACUUCCGCCGCCGGUGGAGUUACUAGCGGCGUGGUCCUGGAAGGUUGCGUUGGCUGUCGUGAUAGCUUGAGUCUGUCGGAGUUUUCGCUUUUCGUGUUCUUUUUUUUUUGGCUCCUGGCAGCUGGAUCGUUUCGUUGUUGACGUCUAUGCGUGGUUUGGUGGUUUUAUUGGUAACUGGAUCAUGGGUUGUGUUUUUUUUUUUUUUUUCAAGAGAGAGAGAGGUGAGAAUUGCAAGGGGAUAUGGGUUGCGGUGGUGGUCCGUGGGUUUCAGUGCGUAAAGUGUGGGAUCGGUGCCAGCUCCAUCCCCUCUGCGUGUUUAUGAGGGCAGUUUUUCUCGUCGCCAUCCAACGAGGGAUGUCCAGGCUUUUUGCCUUCCGUUGCUUUCCCUUUUGUUUUCGCGCGACUUUCGCCGUUGGUGGAGUUACUGGCGGCGUGGAACUGGACUGUUGCGUUGGCUUCCGUGAUCGCUUGAGUCUGUCGGAGUUGUCGCUUUUCGUGUUCUUUUUUCCCCGCUCCUGGCAGCUGGAUCGUUUCGUUGUUAUCGGCUAUGCCGUGAUUUGGUGGUUAUGUUGGUAACCGGCUCAAUGGCUAUGUUGGUGUUGGGCGUGCCAUGGCGGAUUUGCGCUGGGCAGUUGGGUUUUUUUUUAAGAGGGAGAUGAGAAUUGCCAGGGGAGAUGGGUUGCGGUGGCGGUCCGUGGGUUUUGGCUUUGUUGAGUACAGAGGCAUUAAUCUUCUAGUACAAAGAAAAAAAAUAGCAUCCGCGACCUGGAGGAAGGGAGAGACAGAAGGAGAUUAAAAUUAUCGACCUUGACUGGUAAUUUUCUUAAAUGGAUCUUUGAAUUAAUUGUUUAUUAUUACCUAUAUUGGUUGGUUGAUAGUUCCUCCCCGGUGGAGGAGCGUUGCAGUGAUGGGGCAUGCUAAUAUUAUGUUUUAUUAACCGAUUGGUUUGAAUGAAAUGAAUUGGCAGUCUAUGGAAAGGAGCAGGACAUGGGAAUCGAAGCAUUGGAAGCCAUGCUUAUGGAUAUGAUGGAUUUAGAGGUGCUCCUUCCCUUCUUUCUUUUUGAUUUUUUCAAAGUAAACAAACCAAUGAUAUGCAAUUGCAGAUAUUCAUUCUAGCGAGAGUGGCCUUCAUACUUCUAACCAUCGCUUCAAAAUAUCAGUAUCUCCACAGGUUAGGAUGGCUGGCUGUUCUAUCAUCAUGGUGCUGUGUUUUUUUUCUCUUCCCCGGAGUUUGGUCAUGCUCUUAUGCCAUGCUCCUUUAGCCGUGCUGUUUUGGAUUCUUAGCUCGAUCAGUUUUAUUUCCAGUGGGAAAAGGAGGUGACCAGGGAGCUGUGAGUUCUAUCAAGAUCUAUAUAUGGUUUAAAACCAAAGUCGAUAAUUUUAAUCUCCUCCUGUCUCUCCCUUCCUCCAGGUCGCGGUUGCUAUUUUUUUCCUUUGUACUAGAAGAUUAAUGCCUCUGUACUCAACAAAGCCAAAACCAAGGACCGCCACCGCAACCCAUCUCCCCUGGCAAAUCUCAUCUCCCUCUAAAAAAAAAUAAAACCAACAGCCCAGCGCAAUUCCGCCAUGGCACGCCCAGCACCAACAUAGCCAUUGAACCAGUUACUAACAUAACCACCAAACAAUGAAACGAUCCAGCUGCCAGGAGCGGGGAAAAAAAAGAACACGAAAAGCGACAACUCCGACAGACUCGAGCGAUCACGAAUGCCAACGCAACAGUCCAGGUCCAUGCCACGCCGCUAGUAACUCCACCAGCGGCGGAAGUCGGGCGAGAACAAAAGGGAAAGCAACGGAAGGCAAAAAGACUAGACAUCCCUCGUUGGAUGGCGACGACAAAAACCGCCCUCAUCAACACGCAGAGGAGAUGGAGGUGGCACCGAUCCCACACUUAACGCACUGAAACCCACGGACCACCACCUCAACCCAUCUCCCCUUGCAAUACUCACCUCUCUCUCGAGAAAAAUAAAACACACAGCCAUGGAACCAGUUACUAAUAAAACCACCAAACCACGGCAUAGCCGUCAACAAGGAAACGAUCCAGCUGCCAGAAGCCAAAAAAAACAGAAAAGCGAAAAAUCCUACAGACUCAAGUGAUCACGACAAUCAACGCAACCGUCCAGGACCACGCCACUAGUAACUCCACCAGCGAAGGAAGGCGCGCGAAAACAAAAGCGAAAGCAACAGAAGGCAGAAAGACUGGAUAGCGGGGAGAAAAACCGCCCUCAUCAACGCGCAGAGGAGGUGGAGUUGGCACCGGUCCGACACUCAACGCACCGAAACGCCCUGGGUUUGACAUAUCUGUGAUCGAUUUAACAAAGAGUUUGGCUGUGACUGCUGUGGCGAGUGAUUGUUUUAUGGACGGCUUUCUUCUCGUUAAAAAGAGACGGUAUUAAAAGGGUAGAUCCAAAAGCGGGCCCCAGUGGAUCAGAAAAUUACCAGGAAGUCCACACUGAUUUAUUACAGUGGCAGCGCAGUAAAUUGAUGAUAAUUAAAAAAAAAAACCCACUCCAAGUAAAGAAAAAAAAAUUGAGGGAAAAAACUCAAAACUCAUUACGUGCUAUGACGAUUUUAAUUGAAGAUAUUAAGUUUAACUCCAACAGAAAAUUCACACCAUCAUUUACAUAUAUAUAAAGUAAAAAUUAAAAUGGUCUGAUCUCAAAUAAUGAGAGAACAUACCAAUAUUUAUCUGCAACAAUACAGUAGAUAUAACUAUAAAAACCAACUGUCCAUGUUCCGAGUACUUCAUGGAUUGCUACCUUAAACAAAGAAGAAGUUACGAAAACAGUAUUGGAAUAUUAGAAGAAUCUCACUUUAUGAAUCUUAAUAGCUUCAACUUCUUAUUGCAUGCUACCUCCUUGCAUGCUCUUUCAGCAUUUCAACUAAGUAUCUCCAGGACGGACACCAGUCCUUCCUGGCAUUUCAACAUCCACCUCCAAUUUUACGGAGCAGUUUCGGCACUUGAAGAAUACAUAAACUACGACAGCAAGAAGAAGCAUGAUGAGGACACCAGCAACUCCUCCUUUAGCUGCCGAGGAGUACCCUCCGGUGACCGAGUCUUGUGCAGGGGGGUGUAGGGUGUAACCAUCCAUGUCUCAAAACUACAAAAAGGAAUGAUUAAUUAGAAGAAAAUAAAAGCAUUAAUGUCUCAAGUGAGAUCAGAAAGAGAGAUCGCAUUGAUAACAAUACCAAAUUUGAGGAAGUAACACAGGAGGAGAUACGCUAGAAGACCAAGGACCAGAUGCUUAAAUUUUGUGAACAAGGAGAUGGAUGAAUUGCAAGGAGGAAGCCCGUUUCCUCUUAUAGGAAGGGCUUUGAUGAUGCAGAUCUCUAUUUUCUAUUUUCUACAUUCCUUCGGUGGGGGCCACACCACUAUUGUUUGUUUGUUACUUUCACAAAAGCGCUAUUUGUUCGAGAAUCUAAUCUCACGAUUCGAGAAAAUAAAUAAUAAAAUGCGUAAUUACAACACUCCUCCACUGGGGAGGAACUACUAUCAACCAACCAAUAUAGGUAAUGAUAAACAAUUUAUUCAGAGAUCCAUUUAAGAAAAUAAAAGAAAAUUACCAGUCAAGGUCGAUAGUUUUAAUCUCCUUCUGUUUCUCCCUUCCUCCAUUGCUAUUUUUUCUAAUCUAAUUAAAUCAUUCCUCUUUUUUUUUUUAUUAUUCUAAUAUCAUGUCUCGAGUUAUUGAUUUAACAGGUUUAUUAAAUUUAAUUCAACUAUUUUUUUUUAUUAUUUUUUAAUAGUUUUUGAUCUUGAAUCGAUGAUCAUAAUCUUGGAUUUUGUAUUUCUUUUUAAAUAUAAAUCAUUUCGAUAUUUUCUUUAUAAUAAAAAAGGUUUUGACAACCCUACUUGGUUUUGCUAAUACUUUAUUUUUUAAUUUUUUUAUUAAUUUUUUUAUUUCAUUCUUCUAUAUUUUUGUUGUAGAAGAUGAUAAUUAUUAUUAUUUUUAUUUUUUUUCUAUGGUGUUGAAUCAUGAUUUUUUUUUUAUUAUUAUUCUUUAAAAUCCAAUAAUUAAUAGCCCCUGGGUAUUCUUUUUUUACACUGCAGAAAAAGAUCAGCUUGGCCUACAGUGAAACUCGGGCUAUCUAUAUUUAGCAUGCAAAUAUAAACAUACACUUUAUCUAGCAAUCAAUCCAAAAGCAAAAAAAAAGAAUAAAAUAAAGGGUUUCGUGGUAGUUUUAUGGAGGGGCGAAACUUGGAAACCUUUUCAGAGGCGCCACGAUUAGAAAUAUUUUGGAGGAAUUAUUAUAAAGGAUGGAUCUAGCCAUUUGGGUGCGGUAACUGAGAUUGGAGGAGUUGGUUAGGGUGAUCUUUGCCUCCAUCCCAAACUUUUCCCAGUGGAAACAGCCUUUUCUACCUCAUCAAAUAAAGGAAGAGUGCAAGGAAGGGAGCGGAGGAUCACUUACGAUUUUUUUAGCCUGUUUAGAAGAAUAAAAAAACGCAAAACCAAAGCCCUUCCUAGUUAAAGACUAAAAGUCAAGGUAGGUAGCAUGUGAUUAACAAAAAGUUGAAGCUGAUUAAGAUUCCUACAAAUGAGAUUCUUGGGAAUCGAAGCAUUGGAAGCCAAUUUGAUUCUUGCAAUAAGAUUCCUACAUUUUCCUGCAAUUUGAUUCUUCUUCUUUCAUAUAUUAUUUUUUUCUUCUAUAACUUACUAAUUUAGCUAUAUAAAGGUCUUGUUUUGCAAGGAAAAUGUGAACUGCCAGCCAAGCCUAACUUAAGAAAAAAAAUAUAUAAUCAAAGUACGUUAACAGUCUGUUUUUUUUUUUUUGCAAAGAAAAUAAAACACUCACUCAUGAAGGUUUCAACGAAUUGGUGGCCUUGUUUCAUCGUCUCAUCACCCACUCUAGUUAGUGUGAAGCAUAACAUAUUAUUGAAUUUUUUUACUUUUUAAUCUUUGUUAACUUAAAAGGUGUUUGAAAGUGUUGUACUAGUUACUUUUUAAAAUGUUUUUUUACUUGAAAAUAUAUUUAAAUAAUUUUUUUAUUUUUUAAAAAAUUAUUUUUGACAACAAAAUAUCAAAAUAUCUAAAAAGAAUAAAAAUUAUUAAUUUAAAAUAAAAAAUUAAAUUAAAUUAAUUUUUUUUAAAACUAUUUUUAAAACACAAAAAAUAAACAAUAUCAAAUACAGCUUCCAUAAAACUGCAAAGUUGAUGUUGGUUCGAUUACAAAAUUAAUAACAGUUGUAGAUAAAUCUUUAAAAAUACACACUUGAAUAGAGAGAAAAAAAAAUACAUCCAUUCAAUUAGAAACUAAGUGAUUUAGAGCUUAUCUCAGGCAGCUAGCAACCUUCCCAACACCCCCCCCCCUCAUAAUACCCCCCCCCCCUCAUAAUACACAUUUAAGUUCCUGUAAUUUAUAAGGUAUUCAAUUCUAUAUAUCCCUAAAAUUCCAAAAUUUAUUUGGAAUUGGAUCCUUAAUUUAUAUUUUUCUCUCCUUUUCUAAGCUAAAAACCCCUCCUUUAUGCAUGUCUUGAUAACAUACAAAUCUUACUAUUUGAAUUUUAAUUGCAAUUGAAAUUUGCAAUGUUUUUUACGGGCCAAUUAUUACUGGUGCACAAAUAAAUGUGUCUUUUUUUAUUUGAAUUUUUUUUAUUUAAUCCAUUUCUAUUUGAUUUUGUUUUGUUUUUAUUUAAAUAUAGUAAUCAUUCUCUUGAUUGUUACUUUUUUUUGUAUUAUUGUUUUCUUGAUUUUUUUUAUUUCAAUUUUGUCUCUCAAUAUUUUAUUUCAUUUUUUUUUCUAGAUAUUGUUCUUAUUUUUUUUAAUAACUUUUUUUAAUUCUUUUCUUAAUUUGUUUUAUCUUUCAAUAUUGUCCCUUAGCAUUUUAUUUCACUUAUUUUUUAUUUAAUUUUGAUUCUUAUUACUCUAAUUAUUUUUGUAAUCUUUUUUUUUAUUCUAUUUUUUCUCUACCACUAAUCUUAUUACUCGUGAAUAGUGUAGUGAAUUGCACUGUUUGUUAUUUUUUAUAGUCUACAGUGCAUGAAAAGCAGGUUUUCAUAGCUUUUCAUUUACAGCAUUUUAAACGCAAAAAUUCUUGUGACCCUCAUGCACAGUAAAUCAAUUUUUUUUAUUAUCAAAAGGCUGCUGACUGCGUUUUAAAUAAAACACAACCGCGGCCGCGUAGACAAACGAAGUCUAAAUGUUGGGUUUAGGGUGGUCCAGACACAGGCUGUUUUGUUGGGUUCAGUUCUAAGUUUAAGAUUGUAAUAAUUGUUAUUUUUUAAAAUGAUUUUUUUUUAUUAAUUUAUUUUUAAUAUAACACGUAGAAUGAUUGAAUAUUAUAUAAAAAAAAUUAAUUUAAAAUAAAAAAUAUUUUAAAAAGUUUCAAAAAUUCUUUUUAAUUAAAAACAAAGAAAUGUUUUGUUUUGUUUUUUUCCCCUUCCUUCCUUAUUCCUCUUUGUUUCUACAAAUUAUGCUUAUCAACCCCGUAUUUUUUAAGAUAUAAUUUUUUUAUUUGAAUAUUAGGGAGUUAUUCACGUACCGCCUAAACACCAUAAGUGUCUCCCAUUCAUUUUUUUUCAAUCCCUAAAUUAUUUUGUUUGACAAAUAUGAUCCCUCAAGCAAUAUAAUUGUGUUUUAAUUUUCAAAAUUAGGCAUCAACCAAACACGUGUCAGAAUUUUUUCUCAAUAAAAUUGGAUUCUCAUAUUUAAGAAAAAAAAACUAUCAAGUUUAAUUUUUUUUUAAAAGACUUAAUAUAAAAAGAUAAAAUUAAAAAAGAAGAAUAAGAAGAAGAAAAAGUUGAAUCUCUCCCCUAUACCAUGUAAUUCAGUCACUGAUGUUUCCAUGAAAACAGGGCUCAAUACGUGUAAUUCCAGUACUGUUUUGACGACAAAGGAAUAUCAUUGGUGGGUUGUGGGGCAGUCAUUUGUUUGUCUCUGUAAAAGUGCAAAACAGGCAUAAAACAAUUAACGAUACUUCUUUUAAAUGGGAGUAAAUGCUCAUGAAGAUAUGAUUGAGCUUUGUUAAGAUAUAUAGAUGUUAUUUUGUGUUGUGGUACAUAGCUUUUUUUUUUUUUUUUUUUUUAUCUUAGAGAAAUAAUUGUUUGAUUAUAAAAAUAAAUUAUACCUUUUACACUAAGUUUCGUUUUAAAUCUUAAUUUUGUAUUGCUAAAAUACUAUACUUUUCAUCAUUUAUUUUACUUAGGUCAAUUCUUACCAGAGAAAUUGAAAUUGAUAUUGACUGUUCAAACCCCAAAACUAGCCAAAGCAAAAUAAGAAGAAACCGUAAAAGAAAAUAUAUAUGGAUUUAUGUUAUGCGGUAGCAUGGCUGAUGUUUAUCAUAUUUAGUUUCACUCUUUGUUUUCUUUUAAUUACCUUGCCUUUUGACCAUAGUCAUAUACAUAAUUUAUGAGAUUACAAAGAUUAUAAUUUAAUAAGUUACAUACACAAUGUUUCCAAAUACUACAUAAUAAUAAUAAUAAUAAUAAUAAUAAUAAUAAUAAUAAUAAUAAUAAUAAUAAUAAUAAGACAUCAUAGUAUGAUACAAAUCAAGAUUAAAUUACUAGAACAAUUUUCUUGUUGUUUUUAUUUUCAUUAACCAUUUGACCUCUAAUUUAAUCACUGGUAAUUCAAUUUAAAAUUCCCACUGAUUUUAAGAUGGUUUAUUAUUAUUAUCAUAAACCCUAAUGUUUUUAAUAACUAAUUAUAAAAGAAUAAAAUUAAAAUUAAAUAAUGAAAUAAAUAAAUAAAAUAAAUUUUUUUUACCUAAAAUAUAAAGAAAAAAAUAGAGUAAUUGCUUAUUUGAUGAGAAAUUUAUUUAUGGGAGAGGCAGGAACAAGAACUCAUAAAAAAAAAAAAAAAGUGGCAUAGUAGCUCAUGAAAAUAAUAAAAUAGCAAAGGUAGGAACGCGAAAUACUCUUUGUUAGUCAGGGGACUCUAUAUUUUUAAGCCGGUCCCCUUGAUUUGUUAUAAAAACAAAAGGGAAAUUAAGAAAAAUUUAGGGAAUGAGCUGUGUAUGUAUAUAUAUUAUAUUAUAAUAAUAACUUUUCUUUUUCCGUGCAGUAACAAUUCACAAACCUAAUAUAUUAAUAUUUUAAUAAAAAAAUUAAAAAAAUAAAAAUUAAUUGGACAAUUGCCCCUUUUUAUUUCUAUGUGGCUCCGCCACUGCAUAAGCAUCACUAUCAUAGUUCCUUUGGCUACAUCUAUUAUUUGGGCGGGGUUUAAUUUCAAAAGAGGAUGCAAUAUGUUUGGUUGUUUAAGAGCAUCUCUCUAUGUUUUUCUUUUUUUUUAAUAAUGUAUAUAUGAUUUUUUUUAUAUGCAACUCAAUGAAAAAACCAUUUUAAGAAAUAAACUAAAUUCUCGAAAGAACCAGUGAUGAAAGAAAGAAAAUGGUUGAAAAAAAUGUGGCAGAGCCAAGACCUAAUUCUAACAUAAUAGAAUAAAAAUUUAGCUUUUUUAAAACGGAAGUAUGACAUGACAAAACGAAACUGGCGUCCUUAAAUUACAUUCGUUAUCUAUUAGUUUUUGUUUUUGAAAAAUAAUUUUUAAAAAAUAAUUUUAUAAAUUUUUUUGUGUUUGUUUGCUAUUAAAAAAAUUAAUUAAUAGAAAACAUUUUCCUGUCAAGAAAAAAUUUAGCUUGAUUUCUAUGAAUUUUUUUUUUAUUUGGGUGGAAAAUACUUUCUAGAAGUUGUAAAAAAUUUAAAAAUAUCAUAUUAUUUACUGAUUAUGUUAAAUUUGGUCAUCGAACGUUUGAUUGUUAUAUAUUUUGUUUGAAUCCUUUUUUUUUGUCAAAUUCAUCCCUUAAAAUUUGAUUUUUAUAUUAAUUUUGAUCGUUAUUUUAUGAUUAUUAUUUAUUUUUCUCUUAUCUUUUUUUUUAUUGAAAUUUUUUAUCUAUCAAAUUUGAUCCUUAUUAUUUUGAUUGUUAUUUUAUUUAAAAUAAUUUAUGAAAUUAUAAUUAUAAUUAUUUUAAUUUCAUUAUAUUUUAAUUUUUUUAUCUGUUAGAUUUGAUCUUUAUUAUUUUGAUUAUUAUUUAUUUUAUUUGAAAUAAUUUAUGAAAUUAGAUUUUUUUCAAUUCAAUUCUUAUUCAACUUUUUAAUUUGUAAGAUUUGUUCCUUAUUAUUUUAAUAAACUUAAAAUAAAAAUAAAACAUUAAUAAGCUAUUUCCCAGUUUAUUUUCCAUAACAUAACCAAACACUGAAAAAUACUUUUUAAUUUACUUUUCAUUACACUAUCAAAUAUUAAAAAAUAACUUACUUUCUUGAAUUUUACUUUUCAAUAAAAUUAUUUUUUUAAAAAAAAUAUUUUUUUCUGAAAACAACCCGAUCCUAAGUUAAAACAUGGAAUGCUGGUCAUAAAUUGUUAAGUAAUCAAGACAGGCCACUAAGUGAAUCCUUGUCAGGGGUUGGCACCGCAGUACUAGGUGAUGGUCUUGUUUCUUCUGCUAUCCUUUUCCUCCUCUUCUCUUCUUCUACGGUUUGUGAUCCUACGGUUUGUGAUUCAAAUAGAGGGAGAAAUUGAAAAUUAAAAAAGGCCCCCGUCCCUCACCUCUCGCCCCGCACCAGUACCAGGGCUACAGACAACCAGUUCUAUUUAAGAGCACACAAACUUUCUCCUUGUUAUACAUACUUACAUCUCCUUAUUCACAAAAUUAAGCAUCCUCUCUUGCUCUGCUAGUGUUUCCUUCUCCAAUCUGGUAAUAUUAUCAAUGCGAUCUCUUUCUAAUCUCACUUGAGACAUUACUGCUUUUAUUUUCUUCUAAUUAAUCAUUCCGUUUUGUAGUUUUAAGCCAUGGAUAGUUACACCCUGCACCCCCCUGCACAAGACUCGGCCACAGAAGGCUACUCCCCAGCUGCUAAAGGAGGACUUGCUGGUGUCUUCGUCAUGCUCCUUACUAUCGUCGUUUAUGUAUUCUUCAAGCGCCGAAACUGCACCGUGAGAUUUGAGGUGGAUGUUGAAAUGCCAGAAAGGAGCGUCCAUGGUGCUGCUGGAGGUGGACGUUGAAAUGCAGAAAGGAGCGUCCAUGCUGGGAAAUAAGGAGGUAGCAUGCAAUACAAUCCAUGAAGUUUGUUUUUGGUUUUAUUAAUUGUAUUGCUACAGAUAAAUAUUUGGUCUGUUUUCUCAUAAUAAAAAAAUUCAAGAUCAGACCAUUUUAAUUUGUACUUUUUAUGGUGUGGAUUUUGUGUUGGAGUUAGACUAAUAUCUUCAACUAAUAUCGUCAACGCAGAUAAGGAAUUGUGGGCUUUUUCUUUAAUUCUUUUUUUUUUUUUACUUUACUAAUUGGCGUGGGUUUUUCUAUUAUCAAUUUAUUGCGCGGCCACUUUUUUUUUUUUGUUAUUUAUAUUAAUUUUACCCUCAGGAUCUUAAGAAAAACUAAUCAAAUACUUCCAUAUAUUUUAAAGCUUUCUGACUAUGUUUUUAUCUAAAUUAUACUGUUUUUAAAAUGGUCUUUUUUUUGUAGAGGAAUUAAUGUUUUAUAUUAAUUAUCUCAAUAUAAAAUCUUGAUUGAGAAGUCAAUAUAAUGUAAUGGUAAGAUUGAUUAAGAAAAUAAUUUGGAUAUAAAAUUGAUAAUAAUUCAAUAAUUUGAUGAGAUAUUUGAUAUUUAGCUUCGAAUAAAUCUGUCUUUUUGUGCACUGGCCUUCGAAGAAAUUGCUCUGUGUUUACUUGGAUCGGGAAGUUGGCUGGAAAUUUACAAUCGAUGCAACAGUACACUAAUUAUAAAUGAUCCAUGACUUGUCCUUCCUUCUUGUUUCACUAUACCUUUCCUUUAUUUUUUUGGCAAUCCACAUGCCCUGCACGGCUACCUUUUAUUGACACAAUAUAUAUAUAUAUUCUGUAUCUGAUUUAAAUAAAGUAAUUAAUUAAUUAAUUAAUUAAAAAUCCAAUAGACAUUAUUCUAAAAAAAAUACAUUCCAUUUCUUCUUUAAUUGUUUAACUAGGAUCGAUAGGAUUAUAUGAUAUGACCCAUGUAUUGGGAAAUCCGACUAUUGAUGUACUGAUAAUUGUCUAUUGGAGGCUAAGCAUACUAAUAUAAUAUUUAACGUGGUUCGACAAACCGCUUACAUCCAUGAAAGAUGUUCAUAUUAUUAGAGAUAGAGAAAUGAUACAGUACAAAUACAUGGAGGAGGAGGAUUACAUCCAAUCAAACUCAACUCCCAGCUCACAUUGCUGCCCUUGCAGCUCUUCACUUUCUCUCUUGGUCUCUCAUAAACUCACCACUCUUUCAAGAGUCUACUCCUCCAGGAGUUGCACCUGCCCUCUAUUCCACUCUAAGAACCACGCCUUACUUCUCCAUGAGUCUUUCGCUCUUAGUCUCAAGAGUCCAGGUAACUUUUAACCUUUAACCAUGGGGGUAGCCCAUUAAAGGUUAAUCCAUAUCUGUUUUGAUAUUCUGAGUAUUACAAUGCAAUUACCGAGCUCACCACCUUGACAAGAGUCAACUUGUUCUAGGAACCUACAUAUGCCCUCUGCUCCUACAUAGCAGUCGCGUCUUAAUGUUCCACAAGUCACCCACUUAUUAUCCAAGGCAAAUGUCUUCUAGCUCAUUGAUCUUUAGUAUAAGGGCAAUAUCCAUGAAAGUCAAUCCGACAUUUGUCUCCAUACUCAUCAUAGCCACUUCAUUGGCUAUCUAUACACCUGUCCACUUAUAUCUAGCCAUCACAUUAGCUCUGGGGAGUUCUGUAAUUGGGCUCCUAUCGUAGCCCUCACACCUUCCUUCUAAGGUGUCUCCGCUCGUUGUCAUGCGGCGGUCUGAACUUCGGCUUAUAUCGUGGCCCUCACACCUUCUCCUGAGGUGUCUCCGUUCAUUAUCAUGCGGCGGUCUGAACUUGGGCUCAUAUCGUGGCCCUCACACCUUCUCCUGAGGUGUCUCUGCUCAUCGUAGAGCGGUCUCAUCCUCCAUCUGGGAUGAUUCCAGUGGCUUCAAGAUUCUCUACCACCAUGUGGACUUGGAAGAGAUUACUCCUACUAACUACAUAGAAAGAGAAAGUUGUGGUAUACUCCUCGCAAUCCUCCACCUCGAUUUCUAUGUUUGGAGCUUCUACCUAUUUUUGCUUAAUAGCUCCACCCACACCAAUUCUUUUUGGUGUCUUCGCCUUUCAUAGGCGACCAUCACAGGUGUUUUCACCCCUUCAAUUAGGUGUUUUUGCAACAACUCAUCUUUCAAUCCUUACAUGCAUUGGAAAGGUCUUCGCCUGUUGUCUUCAUCAAGAGCACAAGAGACUUCUUGGUGUACAUCCCUUCACACAGUCUCUGCUCUGAGUUUCAUCUGGGAACUUUUCUUCUCCUUGCACCUGUUGUCUCAUUACAAUACCUCGUUGGAUCCUUCGGGUACUCCUGCACAAUCUCCGUGUGCCCUCGUGCAAUUUAUGUUCUCCAGAUUUUCUCCAUAUUCCCUGUUUAUGUUUGACAGUAGCUCAUCCUAUCACAACACCUAUCCAAGUCAAAAUAGGGUGUCAAUCUUUAUCCCCUUGUUGUAUUUCUCUUCCAUUAUCAGGGUCUUCAUCAAUUCUCCCCUCGAGAAAUUACAGUCACCGAAUCUAACUUCUUUGGAGAAAUCACCACUCCAUCAAAUUCUUGAUUAUACGGAACCUAAUUGUUCCCCUUGUGCCGUCAUCCUGCUAGUCUUUACCAGUUUCAUUACAAAUUAUUACAUAUACGAAAAUAAUAUCGUAUGGAUAAUCCUUUAACUAAGCAAGAUCCCAAUAAAGAUUGGAGGGGUCACAACGGUCCCGCUUAAAACCCAAUCUCCUAGCCAGAACUUCUUAGGCCAUAUCUAUCCAUCGUACUGCCUUUCCGUAUAUAUAACCAUUUGCUAGCUUUGUUGCGGCUUUUCUUUACAAAUAAUCUGGAAUAUUUUUUGUUUAAUACAUGAUUUCCCAACAUCUAACGAGAUUACUAGUGCUUAGAUUCGUCAAGAUUGGUCUUCAUUAGUUUUCACUCUCCACCUUAAAUCGUCCACAUGACCGGGUGUCCAGAGUAUUCCAAUUUUGCCUUCUCUCAAGGCAAUUAAAAUUUCCCCACUAAACAAUUCAGCACAUAUAAUUGGGCAAAUGUGUGCGCCUUCUUCUUCUUCAUCGACUACCAUGAUGACCUUCAGAUGCCUCCUGAUUGGGCAAUCUCUCUUUAAUAAUUCACCACCACCACUUUCGGUCUCAAAUCUUAACGAUUGAACCGUACCAUUGCAUUCGAAAUGAUCAAAUUAGCUGGAAACAAGUCUGAAAUUGUCCAAAUCACAUUUCAGACAGCAAAGAUUUGAUCAAAACAAUUCUGGCCUGAUGAGCAGCCCAGAUUCAAUCUCAGAUCCAGUUGCACGUAGGAUCAGCUACACAGAAUCCUAUCCCUUGGCCCAAAACACCUUGGCUUGUGGCUGAUGAUGUGGCAGAUGGGUCCCACCGUGUUGACGUGUCUACUGAUUGGUGGCUGACAUGGCAUGUCACCUAUGCAUGAUGACGCCAUGAUGAUGUCAUGUUGACAUCGUCCUUAUCCGGGUCAGUCACGUGGUCAUGUCAGCCCAUUCAGGCAAAGAAGACGCGUGGUAUGCGUGAGGCGCGUCUGGGCGCGUGGCCAACCAGCUCAUCGGCUCGUGGGGGCGCGUGCGGCCAUUUUCCACGUUAGAAUUUUACGCCGUUUUCACCGGUGUGCUUGUCUCUUCAUCCUUUACACGGUGGUAUGGUCAAAACAUAUUUUUGACAACUUUUAUUUUUGAGCAAAAUCAAACACCACUUUAAACCAUAAACUUUGAUAUCAAUUGUUGGGAAAUCCAACCGGUAAUGUACUGAUAGUUGCUAUUUGAAGGUUAAGCACACUAACAUAAUAUUUGGUUAAUUAUACCUAAUCUAUGGUUAGUGCAGUUUAACUUCCUUAUCAUAAUACUAUUUUAUGUUAACCUUUUACAAUUGUUAACAAAGUAUUAACACUAACAUCUAUUAAAAAAACAGAUAUCGUUUUCAUUAAAAAAAAAAAAAAAAAGCACUAAUAUCGAGAAAUUAAAUGUUCUAUAGUACAUUCGCAGCCAUUUCCAAACCUUUUCAGUUAUUUUGCUUUAUUUUCUAGCCAGCCAAACAGAUAUCAAACUAAAAAAUAUAGAAACUACAGAUAGAAACAGCGCAAAUCACGAUUCCUUGGUAAAUGUGUGUGUAAAAGAGAGGAAUAUAAUAAAAUAAUAUUUGUUUGUUUGUACUGUAAUCCCCCUCUUUCUCUCCAAUCCUGUAAAAAAUCUUAAUUUAAAUUUGUUAAAAAAAAAUUGAACUUUUUUAAUGUUUUUAGAUAUUUUAAUAUGUGGUAUUAAAAAUGCAAAAUAUUAUUUUGAUCAUCAAAUAGCUAAUCUAUAAAAACAUAGAAACUCCUAAAAAUCAGACAGAAUCAGCACAAAUCACGAUUUCCUUGAAUGUAUAAGAGGGAGGAAUAUAAUAAAAUGAUAUUUGUUUGUUAUGGUUUCGAGUGAGAGAGAGAGUGGCUCGUAGAGUUGGCAAUGUACUUUAAUCCCACUCUCUCUCUCUAAUCCUAUAAAAAAAUCAUAGCUUAGCUUCACAGAAAUUGCUGGCCAGUGAAUUUUAUAAAGCCAAAUUGUAUGUGUGAGAAAAUAGAAAUCAUCCCUCUUAAAUAUCCAUGUCUUUUUCAUCUCGAACACAAUUAUAAUAAUAAAUAUAUUAUUAUUUUUUCAUUGAUUUUUUUAAAAAAAUUAUUAAUUAUUAAUUUUACCAUUUAAUCAAUGUUUAUAUAUGUUAUGUUAUUAUUUUAGGUUUGAUCCUUAUUUUUUAAGUUUUUUUUUGUUGAAUUUAUUUUCCUUUUAAAUUUAAAUCUUCAAUAAAAAAAUUAUUUUUUUCUUUUAAUUUCUUAGUUUUGUCGUAUGCUCUUUCAUAAAUUUUUUAUUUAUUUUUCAUGUAUUUUUCAUUAAAGAUAUUAAACAAAAUUAUAAUAAUAAAUAUAUUAUUAUUUUUUCUUUGAUUUUUUUAAAACAAAAUUAUUACUUUUUAAUUGUACCAUUCAAUCAAAGUUUAUAUAUGUUGUGUUAUUAUUUUAGGUUUAGUUCUUAUUUUUUUAAGUUUUUUUUGUUGGAUUUAUUUUCUUUUUAAAUGUAAACCUUCAAUAAAUAAAUUAUUUUUUUCUUUUAAUUUCUUAAUUUUGCUGUAUACUCUUUUAUAAAAGUUUUAUUUAUUUUUAAUUUAGUUUUUAAAUCAGAAUUAUAUUUAAUUUGAUCUUUAUUUUUUUAAUUUGUAACUUGUUCCCCAUGGUAAAAAAUUGACUAAUUUUAAAUUUUAUCAUUCAAUUUAAAUUUAUUAAAAAUAGUUUUACCAGUAAAUUAUUAGUAGCAUUAAAAAAAAAAAAAAAAAAAACUCUGUGCAUUCAAGCUCACCUAAGAUUCAGUCCAGGUUCCCAAAAAGAUUAUUUAGAAUUCGGCCAGUCGGAUUAUUGCUCUGUAAAAACCUGAAAAACAAAGGACUGUGAAGGAAAUCGAGAAUAAGACAGAAGUUCAAAACCCCAUGCAGUUUCCUUAGAAUAGUUUUGAAACAAAAAAACAAAACCAAAAAAUAUUACUCUUCACUUGCUACUUAUGCACCGCCAUCUCCGUCUUCACAAACCCUAUACAGCUAUACUCACUGUUUUCAAAUAUUCGGUAAUGUUAUCAAUACUAUCCAUUUCUAAUCUUACUUCGAACAUUACUCAUUGUUUUCUAAUUAUUCCUUUUUGUAGUUUUGAGUUAUGGAUGAUGCCAACUUCUCCCCUCCUCCUGCACAAGACUCGGCCAGCGGAGGCUCCUCCUUAUAUGCUUAAGGAGGAGCUGGUCUCGUCUUUGCUCCUCUUUGCUAUCUUAAUUUAUAUACUCAUGAGAGGCCGCUGCAGCUGUACAACUGAGUGUCAUGGUGGUGGUGAUUCCAAGCAGGGCAGUGGAGGGACUCCGAAAGCCAUGCACUUUAAAGAAAAUUACCCAGCGAAAAAGGAAGUGAGAGCACAUAUUACUCCUUAGCUGCUAAAGGAGGAGAUGGUCUCAUCUCGCUCCUCCUUGCACCUGGAAACCUGAGUGCGAUAUUGUUGUUGGUGAUUCCAAGCCAAUAGAGGGACUCUGAAAACCAUGCACUUCCCAGUUCAGAAAUAAGCAUGUAAUUAAUAAGAAGUUGAAGCUGAUUAAGAUUCAUACAAAUUAAUGAGGUUCUUAAAAUUUUAUAAUAUUGUUUUCGUAUUAAUUGCAAGUCUUCUUCUUCGACGUCAAGGUAGCCAUCCAUGAAGUAUGCGUGGACAUUACGUUUGUUAAUUCUCUGCAGCAUGGAUACGCGCCCCGACUAUUGGUUUUAAUAAAAAUUUCAAGAUCAGACCAUUUUAAUUUUUACUUUAAUACAAGUAUAUAUAAAUAAUUGUGUGAAUAUUGUACGUGUUGGAGUUGAACUAUAUAAAUAAUUUUAUCUUUAAUUCUUUCAUUAUGGUUUUUUAAUUACAAUCACAAAACAAUAUCUUGUAUUUUAAUAAAUAUAAAAUAUAAUUUAAACAUCAACAUUCAAGGAAUGUACAACUAUUAAAAUAAAUAAUAUUUUAAAAUGAUAUAAAACUAAAGCCUUUUUUUCAAAAAAUUUAAUCUGUUUUUUCAAAUAUCUUCAAACAAAACACAACCCACUAAGAUGUGUUUGGUAUUGUGAUAGCUGUUGUGGUUGUUGUUUGAAAACAAUUGUUUUAUAAAAAGUACUUCUGGUUGAGCUUGAUUUGGUAUUUAUGUAUGUUUAGUUAAAAUUGUGGUUGAACAAAAAAUAGUUUAAUGUGUUUGGUUAAUAAUGCUUUUGAAAUUGAGAUUAUAAAAUAAUUUUAGAAAAUAUAUAUUAAUAUUGAUGGUUUUUAAUUUAAAUAUUGUAGAUUUAACUAUUGUUAUUACAUCAUGAAAUAAAUAAUACUUCAUAUAAAAUAUUUUUUUAUUGUUCCAUUAAACUAUCUACAAUUCCAUCACGUAUGAAAUACAUCCAAUAAGGACUAUAAUUUUUUUGAUUUCUUAAGCGCGCAACAAAAUCAGGUAAAAUAUAAUUAGGAAGAAAAUUGAGAUUGCAUUUAAAUUUUACAAAUACUAUUGAUUAAUACUUAAAAAUAUAUUUUUAUCAAUGUUUGAUAUCAUCAUUUUACACUUGAAGUAUUAAUAACUCUUUAACAAAAGUAUGUUUUAUAAUAACAAGUCUGAUACUAUAAGAUACCUUUAAUUUAUGGUAAAUAUUCAUUUUAAAUGCAGGCCUAUCACAUAAAUCAAAGGAUUGAUUGAUGAGUUUAACUACAGAAAUUUAAAAGACAAAGAGAGGGCCAAACUUAGAAAAGAGAUGUUGGUUCAGUCCAAACUAAAAUACUGUUCGGUAAUUGGAUCAUAUCUGGAGUUGUAGAUCUCGAAUUUAGAUCUUUUUUAUAUGGAUAAAAAGCUAAGACAUGGGCCUAAAACUUUCAUGGUAGUCCAAGAUUUAAAAAAGCCAUUUUCAAGUCCAAAUUGUAGCAACAACGGAGAAGUCCAAAUCUAUCUUGCAGCCUAGACACUGUUCAGCCCAUAUCUCGAGUUCUAGAAGUCCAAAUGACCUUAAUUUUUUUUCUUGGAAAGCUGAGACAAUUUCCUAGAACUUUCAUGAGUAAAGUUGGUUCAAACUCGUACGUUAUCAAUGACGUUUUGUUUAGACAACAAUAUAAGGAUUGUCAACAAGUCAAAAUGUGCUCAUCCACUCAACAAUUAUUCAUCAAAUCAAUAGUUUCAAAUUUUAACCUAUAAAAGGAGGCAUUUGCCAUGCAUUUAGGCAUCUUGGUUGUUCAUAUCAAGAUCAUGCUCUUUAUUUCUUUCUUUAUAUUCUUGUAAUGUUUAAGUUUUAUUUCAUGUUAUAUUUUUCUUAAUCUUUUGUUUAUGCUUUUAAUUUUCUUCACUAUACUUAUGUUCUUAUGUUGUUUAUUAUGUUUCUCUUCUUCAUUAUAUUUAGCUAAGUUUAUUAUAUUAAGGUGAAAAUGUUUCACUAAUGGUGUUACAAUAUGUAUAAUAUAAACUUAACAUGAACUUCAAUGUUUAUAUCAAAGAAAGUUUGUUAUUAAGAUGUCUUAUCUUUUUAUCUUACUAAUUCUCAAUAUCUUAUUUGUUAAAUGAUUAAUCUAGAUUUGUGUUAUAUAACACUUGGUAUAAUAAAUGCUUGACACUUUCAUAGCCAACUGUAUGGUAUAACCUACACAUGUGCUAUGAAAAGAACUUGAUUUGUUGUUAACAUAAGUUAGCAUCAUGAAUUCCUGACAAUAUUUAAAAGUAUGGUGUUACUUAAAUAAGAUAAUUAAUAUAAUCAUGUUAAAAAUUUAUAAUGAACUAUUAAGGACAAAUCAUCCGAUUGGAACCUUCUUUGCGUGUGGUUUCCAGUUGAUUAAUAAAAAGAGUUUAUACUAUAUUUAUUUAUAAUACUAUUAAUAGAUCCUCUAACCUUGACAAUUGUUUUAUCAUUGUUUAAUCCUUACAUCAAUAUCCCAUAAAAUUCUCAUAAACUCUUUAUUUUAUUUAAUAUAUAUAUUAUUUGUAAUUUAUAUAGUUCACUUCUCUGUGGUUCGACCUCGGUUUUGUCAAAUUAUUUAUUACUUUGACACUCCUGCACUUGCAAUAAGACAUCAAUCUUUUGGUCAUGUCAGCUACAUCAUCAAGCAAUCUUUAUUUAAUUUAUGUAGUGUUAUUUAAUAACAUUAAAUACUAGUUUUUUUAAAUAAAAAACAAUUAAAAUAUAUAUAUAUAUUUUUUUUAUUUUACUGGGUCGAAUCUGGUUCAUUUGAACUAAAAUCGUGAAGCUGGCUAUAUUAUUCAUGUUAAUUAAUUAGGAUGAACAGUAUGUAAAAACAUCAAUUCCCUGAUUUCGUACCAAGGAAACAUGGAGGACUCAUAAAUAAUAAACUUUUUUUUUUUUCACUAAACAACAUUUAUAUUUUAAACAAAACACUGACGCAAUCUCAUUACCCACCGUGCCUUUUUGCAUGGAGCAGUGGCGUUUCCACUUCUCUUUAAGCAACAUGUGCACUCUCCCGUUUCUACUUUUUCUGGAUGGAGAAAAAGAAAAGACGUUUUCGAAAUAACACAGGAGAAUAAAAAAGUGUUAUAAUACAAUUUAAUAUAAAAAAUCUAGUUGAGAUCGUGACGUCUGUGGGAGCAGUUGGGAUCCGAGAUGAUUACACCAACCUUGGUUAGAACCCCGCCCGUGUUCUAUGAAGACGUUCCGACAAAACAUCUAUAGCUGGGAGCCUGGGUAGUGGGUACCAUUGCGAAGGAACUGCCUUUUGCUCCUUUAAAUAAUGCAUUUAAUAUUUAUCUUAUUGAUGAAACACGGAGUUUCAUCAAGCACUUGAUAAAUUUUUUAGUUUUUUUUUUAAGUUUUAUAAUCUCUAUCACACUUCCCAAUCACUGGUCAGUUGAAUAUUCAUGCUAUCCAAACCGAAGCAUGCCAGUUAGCUGGAGUUUUGGGAAUUUGUUCCCUUGUCUUCGUCUUUCAAGCAUAGUUAUUAAAUUUUAAUCGGUCCAGGGAUUAAUCCAAAAUGCGGUCGACCGACUUGAUGACUAAAGUAGUUUGGGUAAAGCAAAAGAUUGGCAGUGUAAAAUUUUGAGUUAUUUUUUUAAUAAAAUUACUGCUGUUAAACUAUAGUCAAUUUUUCAUCUCAAGAAAUUAAGAAAUAUUAUUGUCCAAAUAGAAUGCAAGGAAACUCGUUGUUCCUUAUCUCCAAGUCCUUGAACAUAUUAUGUUGACAGUGAAGAAAGAUGAGGUAGAAGAAAGCGUGGCAGAGGCAAUCAAGAUCUUCUAACAAAAUAGACUAACAACUUACUCUUUUUAAGUGAAGUAUAUAACAUGGCAAAUAAAAUGCGUUUUAAAAAUGUAUCUUUUAAUAUUUUUAAUUUAUUGGUAUAAAAAUAAAUAAAUAAAUAUAUAUAUAUAUAUUGAUAUAUUUUAAAUAAAAAUACUUAAAAAAACCUCCGUACACACAAUAUCAAAAACUCGCUAAAUUAAAUUUGUUAUCUAUUUGUUAGUGCUAGCAUUAAUUGUUGAGUAUAUGAAACUUGUCUGUCAUCUAUAACAUGAAUAUGUACUGUUCUUGAGCCCCUCCCUCUCUUGAAUCAAACUUGGUUGUCUGCUCUAAUUAAAUUCAGUAACCCGUAAUUCAACAGCUAUUUGGAAAUUAAUCAAAGAGAAAAAAGAAAUUGAGGGGGGAAUUGAAAACUGGAAAAAGGGGGAUUUUUGUACCGGGAGAUGAUCAGGUAGAAUAUCACUUAGGAAAGGGAGGAAAUUAUGCUUAAUUUAAGAUUAAUAUUUGUGAAAAUGUUUUUUUUCGUGUUCUUUUUUGAAUAAAAUUACUGAAGAUAGACUGUUGUCAAUCUUUCAUCUCAAGAAAUAUCGGUGUCCAAGUAAAAUGCAAGAAACUCGAGUUCCUUCAAGUAAUCUCCAUGUUCUCUUAACAAAUUAUGGUGACAGUUUCACUUCAAACCCUAAUUACAAUUGAAAUUGCUAAGUCAUGGAUCACACAUAGAUUUUCUCCUCUUGAAAGCCCACGAUAACAGUGAGAAGUCAGGCCCAAAAUAAUGACACCAGGUAGAGAUUUGAAAAUGAGAUCCAAAACAAUGAGUAUUCAAAACACAGCGGGUCUGUGUUAGAUCCAAGUAACCUGUAUUUCGGUUUUUCCGAAAAAAUGAGUAAAUGAGAUCCAAAAAAAUAGUAUGAGGUAUAAUUUCCAAAACAAGUUAAGUUAAUAGUUAAGGAUGAAAUUAAUAAAUAAAUAAAUUAAAAAAGUAUGGGCUGUUAAAGAGUGAAUUGAAAAGAAAAGAAAAACUAAACAAAUAAAAGGAAAAAAAAAAACACAGAACACUAUUCCAGCAAAUAAUUUUUUUAUAAGUGCGACUAAAUUGAUUUAAUCCGCUUUGUCAAAACAUGGAACUGGUUCUUUCAAAAAUUCGAGUUGUCCAAAUGAUAUAUUCUGCGCCAUGAGAAAUGCAAUUCUUGAGAUCUUGUGCCAUCUUUCCAGCAUCUUUAGUGAAGACAUUUACUAAUUAAUGCACAGAAAAUCACAAUGAAAACUCCAAUAUUAUUUUCAAAGGUCUUAAAGAAAAAAAAAUUGAAAUACUUGGACAUAUAAGAGAGUUUUAUGUCAAGCGUGGUUUAAUUUCUCAAAGGUCAAAGGAAAAAAAUGAGAUUGGAGAAAAAAGCCCAAUGUAUGAGGAAAUUAAAAGGGCAAACAAUCCAAACCAAUAAGCCCAUUGACCCAUUUUGCGUCAGCAACACUAAGUUCUUAUCAAACGUGGCAUUGUCGAACGAGGUUCAAAGCAUGUUUAGGACCCCUGCAAGUUAUCAUUAUGAUAUCUAACUAAAUGUCUUGCUUCGCAAGUUAAUUCGGAGGACAUCUUUGUAAAUAAUUUGUUUUAAGAGUUUCAUCUAACUUGUUUGAUUUAAGAAAUAAAAAUAUAAAAUAAAUAUAUUUUUAAAAUAGUUUUGAAAUGAGUUUUUAUCUUUUCAAAAUAAGAAGAAAAAAAAAACAUGUAAUUUUUAUCUUUAAUAUUUUUAUCUCUUCUAUUUCAAACAAUAUCAGUAUAUAUCCUUUUAGCAAAAAUGCUGAGAACAAUUACAAGCCAAGAAUAGUACUAGUUGAUAGUAUUUGUUAUUGUAUUAGUAGUUAUUUUUUUAAGUGUGUUUUAUUUAAAAAUAAUAUAUUUUUUUUAAAAAUUAUUUUUUAUGUUAACAUAUUAAAAUAUAAAAAAUAAUUUUAAACAAAAAUAUUUUAAAUUUUUAUAAAAUACUAUUUGACGCUCGGAUAUGUAUUGCUUCGAGUUGCGCCGCUACCAUUCCUUACCGCGACUGUUUUUUUGUCCAUGUUGCUGCUCAUCUAACGUGUGCGUGUCCGUAGGGUUAUUGAAGUUUCUCACAGUCAUUAAUGUUUUUUGAAAUUUUAAAAAGCCUUCAGUCUUACGACGUAGCAGUAGCAGCAUAAGCACAUCAGGACAGCACUAAGCACAAAGAUAUAAAAUUAACAUUAAAACACUAAAAUUUAUAUAUAAUGUGUCCUCUGAAGCAUUUUUGGUGUUAGAUAAUGUGAGAAAUUAAUUCACGAUUGGAGGAAGGAGCGAUGGGUUUCUUUAUCCAAUAAGUGGUAAAUAUCAAAUACAAAUCCUUUGAAUUUGAAUUAUUUGUUUACUAGUAAGAAUUUGAAUUGCAAUUGAAAUUUCCAAUGUUUCAAUACAAUAUUUAACAGUUUUAUUAACAGAAUUUUUCUAUCGACAUAAGAUAUAUAUUUUAUCAGUAAUUAAUUUACCCACGAAAUCACCGACAGAAAUUCUCUGUCAGUAAAUCUUUUAUCGGUAAUUUUUUAUCCGUCAAUAAAUUCAUUGAUAAUAAAAAAAAUAAUUACCAAUAGAUUUACUGACAGAACAGAUGCGUACAAAAAAUUACCCAUUUCAUUCUGUUAGUAUAUCCCUCGAAAAAUACCGUUGGUAAUUAUUUAAAAACAUUUUAAAAAAAUCUAUUUUAUAAAAUUAUAAAAUUAUAAAAUAAUUAAAUUAACAUAAAUCAACACUCUAUAAUAUAUACUCAAAAUGCUUUGAAAAAAGAAGAAGAAAAUCAACUCAAACAAAUUUGCAACAAAAAAAUAAAACAAAAAAAUAAUUCAACUAAAAAAAUUCAUAUCAAAAAAUAAAGUUGCGAUUGCUGAAAAUUGAAAAAUCAAUUACAUAAAUAAAUUAAAAAUUGAUCUCAUAUGAAAAAAAUAAUCUCACAACAACAUUCAUACAAUUACUAAGAACAAAAACAAUUAAAAAUAAAAUAAAAAACAAAUAUAGUGAAAAAAAUCAUGAAAAAAAAAUAUUACCUUAAUGUAGUUGCAAGUGAAGCUAAGGAGCGAAAUUGUUUUUUGUAAAUCAUAUUAAUUAAAAAACAAACUAAGAGGAUAAAAGAAAAAAGAAGAAAAAGACAUACUCGAGCAUGAAGGAGAAGAGAAGAGAAAGAAAUAGAUAUUGAUGUUUUUUACAUAUAGAAAAAAGAAGAAGAAGAGGAAGUAGAAGAAGAAGAAUAAUCAUAAGAAAUGAGUCUGUCUCUUGUGAAAUAUGGGGACUCAGGCUUUUUAUUGAGGUGAGUUAACGAUGGUUUUACAAACAGAUAAUUAAAUAUUAAUAUUUUUUAAUUAUUUCGUUGGUAAUUUUGUCUGUAAUAUUUAAUUUAAAAUUUCAAUUUCAUAAAAUUUUUUUAGAAACCACCAACAAUCAAUGAUUAUUUUUUAAUCCGUCGGUGAUUCCAUCACUAAUAUUUAAAUGAAAAUUUUUAAUUAAUUAAAUUUUUUUAGAAAACCACCAAAUAAUACCGAUGACUUUUCAAUUCGUCGGUGAUUUUUUCUGUAAAGAGCAACAAUUAACAGUGUAAUUGGAAAGUGAACAGUUCUGAAGCUCUUUGAAAAAUACUGGCGGAAUGUUCCUUCGAUGAUUCCCUUUGUAAUUGAUACGAUGAACAUUGUUCACAAUUUACCAACAAUUAUAUCGAUGGAAUUUAUUCCGUCGGUAAUAUCGUUGGUAAAAAUAACACGUCAUUACUUUUUUGCUUUGUUUUAAAUUUUUUUCCCACUGUAAUUCUCUUGGUAUAUACCGAGAGAAUAUUUCUAUCGGUAAAAUCCCUCGAAAAUUUACCAAUGAAAAUAUUCCCUCAAUAUUUCCGUUUGUAUUUAUCGAUUUUCUGGUGGUGUUUUUACAGGUCAAUUCUUAUUGGUGUACAAAUAAAUGUGUCUUUUUUUGUUUUGAUUUUUUUUUAGAAUUUUUUUUAGUUUCAUCCAUUUCUAUUUGAUUUUUUGUUUGUUUUUAUUUCAAUAUAAUAUUUAUUCUCUUAAUUGUUGCUUCUUUUUUAUUUAUUGUUUUCUUGAUUUUUUAUUUGAAUUUUGCCUCUAAGCAUUUUAUUUUUUUUUCUUUUUUUUCCCUAGAUAUCGUUCUUAUUUUUUUUAGUUUUUUUUUUCCUUCCUUCGUUAUUCCUCUUUGUUUCUACAAAUUAUGCUUAUAAACCCUGUAUUUUUUAAGAUAUAAUUUUUUAUUCGGAUAUUAGGGAGUUAUUCACGCACCGCCUCAACACCACAAGUGUCUCCCAUUUAUUUUUUCAAUCCCUAAAUUAUUUUGUUUGUCAAAUAUGAUCCCUCAAGCAUCAAUGUAAUUGUGUUUUAAUUUUCAAAAUUAGGUAUCAACUAAACACGUGUUAGAAUUUUUUUCUCGAUCAAAAGGGAUUCUCAUAUUUUAAAAAAAAAAACUAUCAAGUUUAUUUAAAAAAAAAAAAAAAACUUAAUAUAGAAAGAAAAAAGAAGAAAAAAAGUUGAAUCUCUCCCCUACCAUGUAAUUCAGUCACUGAUGUUUCCAUGGAAACAGGGCUCAAUACGUGUAAUUCCAGUGUUUUGACGUCAAAGGAAUAUCAUUGGUGGGUUGUGCCAUGGGGACAGUCAUUUGUUUGUCUGUGUAAAAGUGCAAAACAGGCAUAAAACAAUCAACGAUACUUCUUUCAAAUGGGAGUAAAUGCUUCUGAAGAUAUGAUUGAGCUUUGUUAAGAUAUAUGAUCCCUCAAAGAUCUCCACUGCGUAGUGAUCCUUUCAUUAUACGGGAAAGAAAAGGAGCCACGCAGAGGUCCUCGAACAUCAGCCACCGUGGCUCCUUUCAUUAUCCGCUUUGUGCACCGUGGCUGAUGUUUAAGGAGCACACAAACUUUCUCCUUGUUAUACAUACUUACAUCUCCUUAUUCACAAAAUUAAGCAUCCUCUCUUGCUCUGCUAGCUUGUCUCCUCCUGUGUUUCCUCCUCCAAUCUGGUAAUAUUAUCAAUGCGAUCUCUUUCUAAUCUCAGUUGAGACAUUGCUGCUUUUAUUUUCUUCUAACUAACCAUUCCUUUUUGUAGUUAAUUUUAAGCCAUGGAUGGUUACAUCCCACACCCCCCUGCACAAGACUCGGCCACAUCAUGCUACUCAGCUGCUAAAGGAGGGCUUCCUGGUGUCCUCGUCAUGCUCCUUCUUGCUAUUGUAUUUUAUGUAUUCUUCAAGCGCCGGAACUGCCUCGAGAAGGGCGACCACGGGAAGGUUCAGGUGACCAAUAUUGUUAGAAUGGGAGAAAGAAACGUCCAUGCUGGGGAAUAAGGAGGUACCAUACCAUGUAAUAAGAAGUUGAAGCUAAUUAAGAUUCAUACAAAUGAGAUUUUCCUAAUCUUCCCAUAUUGUUUUUGUAUUAAUUGCAGUAAUCCAUGAAGCACACGCAUGCCUCGACUGCUCUUUUUUAGUUAUAUCUACUGUAUUGUUGCAGAAUCAAACCAAUGAAAUGCAAUGGCAGAAAUUCAUUCUAGCGAGAAUGGCUUUGAUACUUCUUUCAAGAUAUCAAUAUCUCCACAGGUUAGGCUGUUCAUCAUGGUGCUGUGUUUUUUUCUGUUCCCCGGAGUUUGGUCAUGUUCUUAUGGUAUGCUCCUUGAGUUGUGCUGUUUUGGAUUCUUAGCUCGAUCAGUUUUGUGUCCAGUGGGAAAAGGAGGUGAACAGGGAGCUGUGAGCUAUAUCAAGAUAUCUAUAUAUGGUUUGUUGUGUAUGCUCAAUCUCCCUAAAUUAUUAUUUUAUCUGCUAAAGUUUGCCAUGGAAAUCGACUCCAACAUGGCAUCAUAAUUGAUAGCAGCCAGCAAAACUUUGACCUCUAACACGUUUAUUUUCUAACAACAUCGAUAGUUUUGUCAUUAAGUUUCAAUCUUUUUUAUUUGGUUAAGGUGUCAUCGUGAUUGCCUUAUAAUUAUGUUCCCUGUGUUCUUUUUCCCCCUGGCAGCUGAGGAGUGAUCAGAGUGAAUUUUGGGCUUUUGAGUGAGAAUUCUAUGUUUUUUUUUUUUGUUGAAUUUAGGAUUUUCAAGAGCCAAGAGUUUACUUGACUGAGAUCGCAGACUUGCUGAUUAUGGCAUGGACUAUUCUGGACAGAAAUAGCAGACCAUGCCUUCAGGCUAUAUAUUCUGUGCUUCUUCUUCUUUUUUCCAACAGAAAAGAUAGCAAACAAGAUCUGUGGCCGCUGUUGCACCGUGGCAUCCAUUCCUUUUCUUUCUGAGAUUCAUGUUGACAGAUUGUACAAUCAAACACAAAAUGCUUUAUUCAGUUUCUCGAUCACAGCCAAGAUUAAAUUCUGCUUUGUGUCCGGUCCAUUAAUCUGUCCACUAUGUUCAUCCCUUUAAAAAAUAUAAGUAAUUUUUUUUAUAUGUGAAAAGACCUCUUUGGCUUAAAUAUCAAAAUAAAAAAGGAUGAAAAAUACAGGGGUAAUCCUAUAAAAAAAAUCUUAGCUUAGCUUCAUAUAAAUUAUUGGCCAGUGAAUCUUAGCUUAGCUUCAUAUGAUAUGAGUUAAGUUUUUAAAAAAUUUAACCUUUCAAUAAAAAAAUUAUUCCUGUUUUUUUAAAAAAAUUUAGUUUUGUCACUGACUCUUUUAUAAAAAUUUUAUUUUUUUAAUUUAGUCCUUCAAUUAAUUACAAUUUGAUUUUUAUUUUUUUUUAACUUUUAAUUUGUUUUUAUUUUUUGGAUCUUUUAUAAAAGUUCUAUUAAUUUUUAAUUUUAUCACUCAAUUCAAUAUAUUAAAAAAAUAAUUUUACCAGUAAAUAACUAGUAUCAUUAAUAAUAAUAAAAAAAAAACCGUUUGAGCAUUCAGGCUCGCCUAAGAUUCAGUCCAGGUUUCCCAAUAAGAUUAUUUAUAAUACGGCCGGUGAGAUGAUCGUUCUGUAAAAACCUGAAAAAUAAAGGACUGUGAAGCAAGUAGAUAACAGGACAGGGCUUCAAACGCCCUGUGGGAGAUGGGGGCAAAAGGGGCAAGAGACAGCAAGAAGGGAAGUCGGCAAAACAGUACUUGUGUGAUGGUGGCCUUUCCAAUUUUCCUUCUAUUUCCAAAAGCCCUAUGGGAAAUGCGUCAGCGAAGAGGGUUUUGAGUUAUGAAAUAUGCCAGCUUCUCCCCCCCUCCUGCACAACAGUACUUGUGUGAUGUGUCCAAUUUCCGCGUGAUGUGCUAUGAAAUGCGUCAGCGAAGGGAGGCUACUCCUUAGUUUUGAGUUAUGAAAUGCGUCAGCGAAGGGAGGCUACUCCUUAGUUUUGAGUUAUGCGUCAGCGAAGGGAUUUUGAGUUAUGCGUCAGCGAAGGGAGGCUACUCCUUAGUUUUGAGUUAUGAAAUGCGUCAGCGAAGGGAUUUUGAGUUAUGCGUCAGCGAAGGGAUUUUGAGUUAUGAAAUGCGUCAGCGAAGGGAUUUUUUCCCACUAUUUAAGAGCGCAGAUGCGAUCUCUUAUACAUACUUACAUCUCCUUGUUACUCACAACAUUAAGCAUCCAUUCUUGCUCUGCUAACUCGUCUCCUCAAAUUUGGUAAUAUUAUCAAUGCGAUCUCUUUCUAAUCUCACUUGAGAAAUUACUGCUUUUAUUUUCUUCUAAUUAACCAUUCCUUUUUGUAGUUAAUUUUAAGUCAUGGAUGGUUACAUCUUACACCCCCCUUCACAAGACUCGAUCACAUCAGGCUACUCCUCAGCUGCUAAAGGAGGGCUCGCUGGUGUCCUCGUCUUGCUCCUUGCUAUCGUAGUUUAUAUAUUCUUCAAGCGCCAAAACUGCCUCGAGGAGGGCGACCCCGAAAAGGUUCAGGUGAUCAAUAUGGUUCAAAUUAGAGAAAUAAGGAGGUACCUUACCAUGUAAUAAGAAGUUGAAGCUAAUUAAGAUUCAUACAAAUGAGAUUUUCCUAAUCUUCCCAUAUUGUUUUUGUAUUAAUUGCAGGAAUCCAUGAAGUACCCGGAUGCCUCGACUGUUCCUUCUUAGUUAUAUCAACUGUAUUGUUGCAGAAUCGAACCGUUUUAAUUUGUACUUUAUAUAUAAAUAAAUGAUUGUGUGAAUUUCGUGUUGGACUUAAACUUAAUAUUGAAUUGUGUUGCUGCCACUUUAUUUUAAAAUCGUCAUAGCAGAUAAUGAAUUGUGGGCUUUUUCUUUAUUUUUUAUAUUUUUUUAACUUUAAUUCGAGUGGGGUUUUACUAUUACCAAUUUACUGUGUUGCUGCUACUCUUUUUUUUUGGGUUUUAACCACGUGUAAUUUCUUAAUUGCUGGGGCUUGCUUUAGGAGCUUUCUUUUUAUAGUCUCUUGGUCGUCCAUAAAACAAACACUCACCGCAACAGUCACAGCCAAACUCUUUGUUAAACCGAUGGUGUUUCGGUGCGUUGAGCGCCGGAUCGGUGCCAACUCAUCUCCUCUGCGCGUUGAUGAGGGCGGUUUUUCUCGCCGCCAUCCAACGAGGGAUGUCCAGUCUUUUUGCCUUCCGUUGCUUUCCCUUUUGUCUUUGCGCGACUUUCGCCGUUGGUGGAGUUACUAGUGGCGUGGACCUGGACGGUUGAGUUGGCUUCUGUGAUCGCUUGAGUCUGUCGGAGUUGUCGCUUUUCGUGUUCUUUUAUUUUUUCCCGAUCCUGGUAGCUGGAUCGUUUCAUUGUUAACGGCUAUGCCGUGGUUUGGUGGUUAUGUUGGUAGCUGGUUCAAUGGCUAUGUUGGUGUUGGGCGUGCCAUGGCAGAAUUGCGCUGGGCAGUUGGGGUUUGUUUUUUAGAGGGAGAUGAGAAUUGCCAGGGGAGAUGGGUUGCGGUGGUGGUCCGUGGGUUUUGGCUUUGUUGAUUGGGAAGACGUGAUUUUCAUAAAGGCCAUAAUAUUUGAUUUUCAUAUAAAAAUAAGUAGGGAUUGAAAAUCAAUUUCUCAGGAAAACUAAAAAAAAAAAAUGCAAAAAUUAGGAUUGUAGUUGAGGUGAUUUUUAAAAUACUUUCUCAUUUUAAAUGAAAACAGUGAGAUUGGGCAGUUGAAUAUAUAUAUAUAUAUAUAUAUAUGAAAACAGUGAGAUUGGGCAGUCCAAUAUAUAUUCGUGCUAUCCAAACCCGAAGCAUGCCAGUUAGCUGGAGUUUUGGGAGUUUGUGUCCCCUGUCUUCGUGCCUUUAUUUUCCCUUUUUUUUUUCAUUUUAUUUAUACGGGUGUUCGGGCCAGCUUACGUGCACCACGACUAAUCCUACAGCCCACUGAACAUCUUGUAAAUCAGUGAACAUAUAAGGCACCGCGAAAAUAAUAUAUAUACACAGUAAAAUUUGAACCCAGUAUAAAAAAAAAACAAGCUCCUUUUAUCGAUAUGCCAAGAACUCAAGUGCUAUUUCCCCUUCCUUUUUUGUUUGAGAGAGAGAGGCUAGUGGAUAGGAUCAUGGGAAUUGGGAUCAUAGGAAAAAGGUUUGUUUAAUGCCUAAAGUGAGAGAUGCUGCAUGGUGCAGCAGCAGGUAGAACCUGCUUUUAUUUUUUAGCGUUUCAAUGAAUUUUGGUGGGAUCCAUGAAUAAUAUUUUGUUUUUUUUUUGUUAUUAAACGUUGUUGCAUCUGUGUUUUGACGCAACAACGUAGACAAACACAUUCUAUAUAUGAAAGAACAAGCUCCCGAUAUACGUCAAGCUCCCGAUUUCUGUCAGAUUCCCCUUAACGAAGCCACUUUAAGACAAUCAUGUUCCAACGAAAUCACGUUGUUGUAUCCCUGCAAAAUUUCUCUUUCUAGUCACACAAUCACUAAUAUGCCUAUCAUGAUUCUCAAUAGGCCAACAAAGAGUCAAAACCUUAUAGGCAUAUUUGUCAAGAUAGAGAGUGGACAUCCACUCAAUCUUUCCAUGCUAUUAGAAAAGGCAUCCGUACAAUUCCGAGACCUCAUUUAAGGAUUUCAAUUUGGAAAAAGAAUUGAUAGCAUGGAAAGAUUGAGGGGUCCACUCUCUAUCUUCAUUUGCUUUCUUUCUUUACUGGCACCGUCCGUGUCAUCGCCGACACAUGGAAAGAGAUAAUCUCUCUCUAAUUCUUAAUUUAUUACUAUAUGCAACUCUAUUUUGUUUAUAGGCUGGUCAAUUCUAAAAUACAGAUAAAAAUAAUAAUAAAAAAGCUCUUUGUUUGUUUAUUAUGCAUUUCAAAUAAAAUAAAAACAGUUCAGAAGAAACUGUUGAGAUUUUGUCCCUACUUUCUUUUUCUAUUUUCUUUUUUUAGCAUGGAGACUAAAUCUACCUCUUCAUGAUAAAAUGCAUUUCUCUUAAUUUAGACUGAAUUCUGAUUGAUGGUUAAGGAAAGAACACGUCAUUUUAACCAUUUAUUCAUCCCUCCUAAUGUUAUGCCUUUUUAAUUUAGCUUAUCCUUAUCGUACCGUGUUUUAGACCUAGUUUGGGGUUAAGUUAUCAAGUUAUUUUUUGCAUUUAAAACAUCAAAAUUAUUUGAUAACUCAACGAGUUUAAAUUUGUUUAAACUUAGGUUACUAACAUCUAAUUUUAAAAUUCAAAAUCAUCUUAUCCAAGACAUGCAUAAGAAAACCGAAACACAUCAUUUUAAUAAAAAUAAUUAACAUAAAUUGAUGUUUUUGCAAGAUAAAGGCAUGGAUACUUGUUAUAAAUAGACAAUAAAUUCAAGUAUUAAGAGUUAAAAAACAUCACAGGAGAAGAAGAAAGAGUAAAAGAGGUUAAAUUUUUGUUUAAAUUAAAGUUUUUUUUAAUUUUUUUUUAUAUUACAUUAUUUCCGUACCCUUUAUUUAUUGUUUUCUUUCUUCUCUUCUGGUUCGGCCUAUCGUGUCUUAUUCUUUGAAUCUUGAAGUGUCUUACAAAGAAGAUCCUUUAAUUAUAACAGCUUUUGGCGCUCGUCUUUUUUUGGUUCCAUUAAGAUUAAUAAGAGGAUAAGAUUGCGUGAGCGCAAGGCUUUUAAUAUACAUAUUAAAAAAUAUACUGGUCAGGUAAAAUUGCAAAGUCGUGAUUUUUAAUAUUUUAAUUGUAUUAGAUACAAUUUAUUUGUUUUUAAUUUAAUUAUUUGGUAUUUUAUUUUUAAUUGUUUUAUCAUCUUUAUUUUUAAUUUUUUUUUCUAAUUGAAUUUUAUUUUUUAAUUCAAUCCAUAAUCAUUUAAUUUUAAUUUUUAUAAUUAUAAUUUAAUUUUUAUUUUGAGUUGUCUUAUUAAUUAAUUGUUUUUUUAGUAACACCAAGCCUGAUAGUCGACACUCAUUAAUUAUGUCCCGAGGACGUCAACAUAAUUGCAUGUGAAGCUUUUGACAAAUUCCUCUCUCUAUUUUUCCUGCUCCCCACUAGGGUCAGAUGAAAAAGCAACGCAGGAAACCAACAGGACAUAGAAUGAUGCACAAAAAUUAUUGAAGUAAUCAAGACUGGCUAACAAGAACAUCCUUGUAAGGAGUUGGUGCAGGAAUAGGCGCUGCUCUUGUUUCUCCGGCUAUCCUUUACCCCCUCCUCUCCUCUGCUAGGAUUAGCGGCGCCUGGCCCUCCCUCUCUCGUCUCAAACGCACUGCCACCCCACAUCCAGAUUAAUGUGGAUGCAGCCGUGGUCUUCAUCAUCAGCUUUUUUUACAGCUACUGCUAUGGAAAUGAAUCAAACCACUUAAUUUUUGUGACAGGGAUCAAGUAGUUUACUUUGGAUCCAGGCAACCUCUUGGUUUUUCUGUGUAUGAGACAUGUAAUUACUUUAAAGGAUCUGAAGCAACUCAUAAAACUGAUUUGUUGCUUCGCUUUCCAACCUUGCUCAUGUUCUAUGAAAUAAAAAAAGCUUUUUGAUUUUGCUGCGUUCUUAGUUAAACAUGGAAUUCAAACCCUAACCCGCAGUGGAGCGCCGGCAGAAAAUCCAGUUACAUGCUGCAUACUUGACCAAUGGGGGGGGACAACCUUAUAAUCGGGUUGGUAGGGUAAGAAUAACAUUCAUUAUCGGGUUGAACUGAUUGAUUUGGUUUUGACGACUUAUAAUCGUUGUUGAAGAAAUUAACUAGCAUGACUUAAAAAACUUCAAUUAAAAUGGUCUGGUCUCGAAUGAGAAAACAGACCAAAUAUUUAACUGCAACAAUACAGUAGUAGAUAUAACUAAAAACCAACUGUCGAGGCGCCCGAGUACUUCAUGGAUUGCUGCCUUGACGAAGAAGAAGACCUGCAAUUAAUUCGAAAACAUUAUUGGAAUAUUAGAAGAAUCUCAUUUGUAUGAAUAUUAAUCGGGUUCAGCUUCUUAUUACAUGGUAUGGUACCUACUUGUUUCCCAGCAUGGACGCUCCUUUCUUGCAUUUCAACAUCACUCACCCCAACAACCUUCACUUGGCAGUUUCGGCGCUGGAAGAAUACAUAAACGACGAUAGUAAGGAGCGUGAUGACGACACCAGCAACUCCUCCUUUAGCAGCUGAGGAGUAGCCUCCGGUGGCCGAGUCUGGUGCAGGGUGUAACCAUCCAUGACUCAAAACUACAAAAUGGAAUGAUUAAUUAGAGGGGGGAAAAUCAGUAAUGUCUCAAGUGAGAUUAGAAAGAGAUCGCAUUGAUAACAUUACCAAAUUUGAGGAGGGAAAUAGCUUUGAUUUAUGCCUCACACACACACACACUUACUUUGAAGCGACGGUUGGAAGUAUCAAGGCCACUCUCGCUAGAAUGAAUAUCUGCCAUUGCAUAUCAUUGGUCCGUUUACUUUGAAAAAAUAAGAAAGGGAGGAGCACCUCUAAAUUCAUCAUCCAUAAGCAUGGCUUCCAAUGCUUCGAUUUCCAUGUCCUGCUCCUUUCCAUAGUCUGCCAAUUCAUCUCAUUCAACCAGUCAGUUAUUAAAACAUACAUAUUAGAAUGCCCCAUCACUGCAACACAACACUCCUCCACUGGGGAGGAACUAUUAACCAACCAAUAUAGGUACUGAUAAACAAUUAAUUCAAAGAUCCAUUUAAGAAAAUCAAAGAAAAUUACCAGUCAAGCUCGAUAAUUUUAAUCUCCUUCUGUCUCUCCCUUCCUCCAUUGCUAUUUUUUCUUUGCAAUAGAAUAUUAAUGCCUCUGUACUCAACAAAGCCAAAACCCACGGACCACCACCGCAACGCAUCUCCCCUUGCAAUUCUCGUCUCCCUCUCAAAAAAAAACAAAAAAACAAAAACCCAACCGCCCAGCGCAAUCCGCCAUGGCAAGCCCAGCACCAACAUAGCCAUUGAACCAGUUACCAACAGAACCACCAAACCAAGGCAUAGCCGUUAACGACGAAACGAUCCAGCUGCCAGGAGCGGGAAAAAAAAACACGAAAAGCGCCAGCUACGAUAAACUCAAGCGAUCACAACAAUCAACGCAACCGUCCAGGCCCACGCCGCUAGUAACUCCACCGGCGGUGGAAGGCGCGCGAAAACAAAAGGGAAAGCAACGGAAGGCAGAAAGUCUUCUUAUUUUUCACUUUUUUGGUUGUAUUUCCCUUUUUUUUUUUUCAUAUGAAACAUCUGCUUGCAGCCGGAGAUAGACCUCGCAACUGAUCAGUGUUGCCUCCAAAACCCACUACAUCGGCAAUGAAGCAUUCAUUGAAAGGAUUGGGAAAAAUAAAUAAAAAUGACGCCAGUUUUUAGUUUUUUAGUUGAUACCACAGACUUUCCUGUGUUUGGACAUGUUAUUCUUCCACGAUACAAUAGUGUGAAAGGAAGAAGUCGUGGUGGGUUGCCUUUGUACGAGUCCGUUUGCUUCUGCGUUUGAAGCAACCAUAAUAAAUAAUACGUUUAGUAACGUUAAAAACACAAUAAAAUUUUGGUAGGGUCCAUGAAAAUUCACGUUGUACACGUGAAUUUUGAGAAGCAGCUCCUGGCUGCUUCUCAAAAUUAAUUUACGUGCACAGUGUAAUUCACUUGCACUGUGCACGCCAACGGUGCAAUUUUUUGUGUGUUUUGUUUUUUGUAUUUAAAAAAAAUUAGUUUAGAGUGAAUUAAAUUCACUUGCACUGUAAUAUUAAAUCAAUUUUAUUCUUGAUAAUAUUUUAUCUAAUUUUAUAUAAAAUAAUAUUUAUUUUAUGAAGUAACAGUAAUAGUUAAAUCCAUAAUAUUUAAAUUAAAAACCAUCAGUAUUAAUAUAUAUUUUUAAAAUUAUUUUAUAACCUCAAUUUCAAAAGCACUCUUAACCAAACAUAUUAAACUACUUUUUAUUCAACCUCAAUUUCAACCACAGUUUUAACCAAACACCUAUUUUUUCAAACCAACCUCAACUAAAAGUAUUUUUUAUUUAUAAAACAACUUUUUUAAAACCACAACCGCAACAGCUACCGCAAUACCAAACACACUCGUAGAGUGACGAAUAUUGAAAAGGGAAAUUUGAAGAAAGAAAAAUGCUAAAAAAAGAUAAAUUUAAUAACCAUGUAUUAAAAAUAUAAAUAAAUAAAUUAAUUAAAAGGUAAAAUUACAUUUUAAAAAAAAAACUCAAACUCGUGGAAAAAACAUUAUGGACUACCUCACAUUCAAUUGCAUUGUUCACCGUAACAAUGUUAAAAAAAAUUUGUUUCCUUUAGAAACUUUUUGUUUAAAUCACCAAUAUAUUUUUGUAGAUUAGUCUUCAAAAAUUGCAUUAUAUGGUAUUUCAAGCUCAUAAUUUAUUUUAGUUGUUUUCUAUAGGGUUUUUUUAGGUAUUAAAGAGAAACAUAUCAAUUAGAUUGGUGUUUAAUUUUAUAGAAAAAAAAACAAUUUGGUUAUGCUAAAUGAAAAAAUUAUAAAUUUAGGGAUCCAAUUUGAUAUUAUGGAAAAUAUUAAUGAUUUUUCUUUUUAUCUCAAUGUUAAAAAUGUAUCUUUUCUUUUAUUCAUUUGAUGUUUCAUAAAAAAAAACAUGUGAACAUGUGGUCCCUUAGUUUUUUAUUUUAUUCAUUUGACCCUUAAUGUUUUGAGUUUAAAUUUUGAUUCAAAGCUAAUAUGAUUAAAAAAAAAAAAACAACGGUAGUGGAUAAAUAAAAAUAAAAUAAUAAUUAACUAAAAAGAUAAGUCAUCAAUAUCAUAUUCAGGAGAGGAAGAAAAAAAUUUCGUUGGAAACUCAAUGUUACUUUACCAUAAAAUUUUCCCAUCAUUAUAAAGAGCUAACUGAGACAUUUCUAGAACUAUGAAAGAUUGCAAGACAAUAUCGAAUGAGGCUGCAAACACAGCCAAAGCAAUGAUAUAGAAAUCAAAAUAAAAACAAUGGUGUGAUCAUCCGUGCUCAUAUUUAAUUAAUUAAUAUAAUAUAAUUUAUUUAAAAAACUAAAUUUAACAAAUAAUAACAAAUAAAAAGACCAAUAGAAUUCAUGUAAUUUUUAAAAUUAGUAAAAAAUUCUAUAAAAAAAUAAUAAAAUUAAAAAAGGAUAAAAUUAAAAAAAACAAAAAACAAGCUUGAAAAGAAAAGGGGGGGAUAGGCAAACCCGGUCGAAUUUUUUAAAUUCAAAUUAGUCUUUCAAACUCAUAACCCGUGAAAUCCUAAACUCGGAUUCAAUCAAUAGCUCAAUUCCCAACUAAUUUAAUGUUGAUGAUGAAAUUAAAAAAUAUAUUUUAAAAAAAUUUCAAAGUAAAAAUAAAAUAAAAAAGGGUCAAAUUAAGAGGAUAAAAAACCGGAAGAGAGUGAAAUCAUAAAAUGAAUUCAAUUUUUCGAUAGUUUUGUAACCCACCAUGGAAUUUUGGAAAUCAAAGUGGCAAAUGGAUUGGUUAAAAACAGAAAACACAAACCAAAAUAUUCAUUUAAAACCAACAGAAUGGAAAUUCUGCUGUUGAUCUCGAGCAAGCCAGCUAUGUGAUCACCACGGCACCUGAAUCACCUCAUCUAUCUGUGAACCUUAACCAAGAAAACAAAAAGGAAAGAAGAAAGAACUUUCCUGAAUCACCUCAUUAAUCUGUGAACCACAAAUAACUUGAAUUGUUAAAAAAAAAUUAUAAUAAUUAUAGUCAAAAUCAAGCCUUUGAUUAUCAAAUUACACAAAUUUUACAAGAUAUAAAUUUAAAACAAUAAAAAUAUUAAGGUACAGAUUACUAUAAUAUAUAAUUUUAUAUUUUUUUUAAACUCAUAAAAUUGGUCUGAUUUUACCAAGUUUGAACGAGUUUAACCAAUUUUAUUAAUUUUUAAAUUUUAAUUUAAUUUAACAUAUUAGAUAUAUAUCACACAUAAAAUCAUAAAAUUUUAAGAAACAAUUUUUUUUUUUAGACAAGUUCACAGCCCCGAUGAUGGUCAAUGAAAGAAUAAAAAAAAAAAAGCAUUUUGAUUUUUUAGCGUUCCGACAAAAAAUCUAGCUGGGCACGACGUCCUUGACCAACGCGUGGGACAUGCCUUUGGCUGCAUCUGUUAUUUGGGUGUGGUUUCCUUUCAAGAGAGGAUGCAAAGAGUUAUGUUUGGGUGUGAUUUGUUUAUAUGCAACUCAACGAAAAAAAGCCAUUUUAAGAAAUAAACAAAAUUCUCGAAAGAAGCAGUGACGAAAGAAAGAAAAUGGUAACCAAGUGCAUCCUUGUAGGGGGUUGGCGCAGCAGUAAUAGGUUCUCUUUUUGAAGAAAAUUACUGCUGUUAGACUACUGUUAAUUUCCAACUCAAGAAAUUAAGAAAUAUUAAUGUCCAAUUAUAAUGUAAGAAAACUUGUAUUCCUUCAAGACUAAUAAAAAGACAAUAAAAAUCCCAGUAUUAUUUUCAAAAAGAAGAAACAAAAUUGAAAUACUGAGACAUAUAAGAGAGUUUAAUUUAUGUUAGGUAACGUUUAAUUUCUCAAAAGUCAAAGCAAUUUCAUCGAGAAUAUUAUCUCACGAUCUGGAAAAAUAAAUAAGAAAAAAAUAUCAUCUAAAAAUGCUUCAUGAGGGCCAUAAUGUUUCAUUUUUUAUAAAAAGAAUAGAGAUAGAAGAUCAAAUAUAUAUAUAUAUAUAUAUAUAUAUAUAUAUUAUUUUUAUAUGUUUUUUGAAAUUAUUUUUAGUUCAAUACCUCUUAUUUUUUUUUAUAAUUUUUUUAAAAUGAUAAUUAUCUUUGUAUAAAUAUAUAUUCUGAAAUCAAUUAUUUUUUAAGUGUUCUUUUUUAAUAUAAAUAACUAAAUCAGUUUAUACACUAAUUUUAUAAAUUAUAAAAUUAAUAAUUAUAUAAAUUUUUAAUAAUAUCGAGAAGACUUAAACUUAUAUCUAUAAAAAAACAAAUCUAAAAUCUUAGUAUUUAGAUUUUAAGAUUUGUCUUUUUCAUCGUGUAGUAACCCCCGGUCCCCUGUUAGCAGACUCCGAGACCGCGCUCGCAUAUUUUCUCCAAUGUGAUUCUACCUCUUUUACUAAAAAUAUGUCCACAAAAAACACGCGCUCAAUCACACGCGCACAAAAACACCAAGACAUGCCGAGACAUGGCACAAAAACACCAAGACAUGCCACAAAAACACCAAGACAUCACCAGUUCUAAUUAAAAGCACGCGAAAACACCAAGGCGCCACCUCUUCUAUAAAUAGCGCAUCCUACUUACAUACUUACAUAUUUACAAAAUUAAGCAUCCACUCUUGCUCUGCUAACUUGUCUCCUCCUGUGUUUAAUUCCUCCUCAAAUUUGGUAAUAUUAUCGAUGCCAUCUCUUUCUAAUCUCACUUGAGACAUUACAGCUUUUAUUUUCUUCUAAAUAAUCAUUCCUUUUUGUAGUUAAUUUUAAGCCAUGGAUGGUUACAUCCUACACUCCCCUGCACAAGACUUGGCCACAGCAGGCUACUCCUCAGCUGCUAAAGGAGGGCUUGCUGGUGUCCUCGUCAUGCUCCUUCUUGCUAUCGUAUUUUAUGUAUUCUUCAAGUUCCGAAACUGCUCCAUGAAAUUUGAGAUGGAUGUUGAAAUGCCAUAAAGGAGCGUCCAUGCUGCUGCUGGGACAUAAGACAAUGAGAUUCUUCUAAUUUUCCAAUAUUAAUGUUUUCGUAUUAAAUACUCGGGCGUCUCGACCCUUUGUUUUUGGUUUCAUCAUCUGUAUUGCUGCAGAUAAAUAUUUGGUCUCUUUUCUCAUAAUAAAACAAUUCCAUAUAAUUUGUACCUUUUAUGGUGUGGAUUUUGUGGGAUUGUUUGUUUUUUUAUUUUAAAAAUAUUUUUAAGCCACGUCUAAGCUUCUUAUUUGCUGGGGCUUGCUUUAGGAGCUUUCUUUUUAUAGUCUCUUUUUAACGAAAAGAAGGUCGUCCUUCGGCUGCUUUCGCUUCUUCUUCUUCUUUUCGCUCAACUUCCGCCGCUGGUGGGUUACUACCGGCGUGGUCCUGGACGUUGCGUUGGCUGUCGUUAUAGCUUGAGUCUGUCGGAGUUUUCGCUUUUCGAGUUCUUUUUUUUAGGCUCCUGGCAGCUGGAUCGUUUCGUUGUGACGGCUAUGCCGUGGUUUGAUGGUUUUAUUGGUAACUGGUUCAUUGGUUGUGUUUUUUUUUUUCUCUCUCUCGAGAGAGGUGAGAAUUGCUAGGAGAGAUGGGUUGCGGUGGUGGUCCGUGGGUUUCAGUGCGUUAAGUGUGGGAUCGGUGCCAACUCCAUCUCCUCUGCGUGUUGAUGAGGGCGGUUUUUCUCGUCGCUAUCCAACGAGGGAUGCCCAGUAUUUUGGCUUCCGUUGCUGCGUUGACUUCCGUGAUUGCUUGAGUCUGUCGGAGUUGUCGCUUUUCUGUUUUUUUUUUCCCGCUCCUGGCAGCUGGAUCGUUUCGUUGUUAUCGGCUAUGCCGUGGUUUGGUGGUUAUGUUGGUAACUGGUUCAAUGGCUAUGUUGGUGUUGGGCUUGCCAUGGCGGAAUAGCGCUGGGCAGUUGGGUGUUUUUUUUAUAAGUAGACGAGAAUUGCCAGGGGAGAUGGGUUGCGGUGGCGGUCCGUGGGUUUUGGCUUUGUGGAGUACAGAGGCAUUAAUCUUCUACUACAAAGAAAAAAAAUAGCAACCGCGACCUGGAGGAAGGGAGAGACAGAAGGAGAAUAAAAUUAUCGACCUUGACUGGUAAUUUUCUUUGAUUUUCUUAAUGGAUCUUUGAAUUAAUUGUUUAUUAUUACGUAUAUUGGUUGGUUGAUAGUUCCUCCCCGGUGGAGGAGUGUUGCAGUGAUGGGGCAUGCUAAUAUUAUGUUUUAUCAACCGAUUGGUUGAAUGAAAUGAAUUGGCAGUCUAUGGAAGCCAUGCUUAUUUUAAUAACUGAUUGGUUGGUAGCUCCUCCCUUUAUUUCUUUUUUAUUUUUUCAAAGUAAACAAACCAAUGACAUGCAAUGGCAGAAAUUCAUUCUAGCGAGAAUGGCCUUGAUACUUCUUUCAAGGUAUCAAUAUCUCCACAGGUUAGGCUGUUCAUCACGGUGCUGUGUUUUUUUCUGUUCCCCGGAGUUUGGUCAUGUUCUUAUGGUAUGCUCCUUGAGUUGUGCUGUUUUGGAUUCUUAACUCGAUCAGUUUUGUUUCCAGUGGGAAAAGGAGGUGAACAGGGAGCUGUGAGCUCUAUCAAGAUAUCUAUAUAUGGUUUGCUGUGUAUGCUCAAUCUCCCUAAAUUAUUAUUUUAUCUGCUACAGUUUGCCAUGGAAAUCGACUCCAACAUGGCAUCAUAAUUGAUAGCAGCCAGCAAAACUUUGACCUCUAACACGUUUAUUUUCUAACAACAUCGAUAGUUUUGUCAUUAAGUUUCAAUCUUUUUUAUUUUGGUUAAGGUGUCAUCGUGAUUGCCUUAUAAUUAUGUUCCCUGUGUUCUUUUUUCCCCUGGCAGGUGAGGAGUGAAUUUUGGGCUUUUGAGUGAGAAUUCUAUGUUUUUGUUUUUGUUGAAUUUAGGAUUUUCAAGAGCCAAGAGUUUACUUGACUGAGAUCGCAGACUUGCUGAUUAUGGCAUGGACUAUUCUGGACAGAAAUAGCAGACCAUGCCUUCAGGCUAUAAUUCUGUGCUUCUUCUUCUUUCCAAACAGAAGAUAGCAAACAAGAUCUGUGGCUGCUGUUGCACCGGGGCAUCCAUUCCUUUUCUUUCUGAGAUUCAUGUUGACAGAUUGUACAAUCAAACACAAAAUGCUUUAUUCAGUUUCUCGAUCACAGCCAAGAUUAAAUUCUGCUUUGUGUCCUGUCCAUUGAUCUGUCCACUGUGUUCAUCCCUUUAUUUUUGUUUUUUGUUAUCUUUGCAUUGUAUUGACAUUGAAACCAUUGCUCACAUCCUAUCUUUCUUCUUUCCUUUUUUUUUCUUGGAUAAGGUUCGCAGAUACAUGAGGUGAUUAUGGUGCCGUGGUGAUCACAUAGUUGGCUUGCUCGAGAUCAACAGCAGAAUUUCCAUUCUGUUGGUUUUAAAUGAAUACUUUGACAGCUACUGUUAUGGAGAUGGAUCAAACCACUUAAUUUUUGUAAGUACAAUGUAAUUACUUUUCGUUUUAAAUGAUCAAGGAGGUUUACUUUGGAUCCAGUCAACCUUUUGGUUUUUCUGUGUAUGAGACAUGUAAUUGCUUUAAAGGAUCUGAAGCAACUCAUAAAACUGAUUUGUUGUUUCGCUUUUCGAUUUUGAUGCGAAGAGCUGUAUUUGGUAGUUUAAGACAUGAUUGAAAUGCAUGUCAGGUCAGGUCGAUCUCCUAAAGCAACAAUCACC
RNAcentral lists this long non-coding RNA (58407 nucleotides) under Populus tremula. Its description in RNAcentral is "long non-coding RNA (PTRE_LNC000703)". The record is from RNAcentral. Lineage: Eukaryota; Viridiplantae; Streptophyta; Magnoliopsida; Malpighiales; Salicaceae.